RNAcentral lists this long non-coding RNA (50719 nucleotides) under Citrus x clementina. RNAcentral's name for it is "Citrus clementina (C. clementina) long non-coding RNA (CCLE_LNC002090)". Lineage: Eukaryota; Viridiplantae; Streptophyta; Magnoliopsida; Sapindales; Rutaceae. The record is from RNAcentral.
AUCGCCGCGGCCAAAAUCUUUCUGAUCGCACGAGCCGGAUAUCAUGACGAUUGGCCACGUGUUAAUCAUCCCAUUCGAGAGACCAGCCAGACCGUGCACGCAACCCGGACCGGAAACAGUUAACAGAAUGCCGGGUUUUCCAGUCAGGUAUCCGUAGGCGGAGGCGGCGUAGCCAGCGGACUGCUCAUUGUGGAAGGCGAUGAACCGGACGCCAAGCUGGACGGCCCGGUUCGCUAAGGAAGUAACGGGAAUGCCCACCACGCCGAACAUGUGGGUGGCACCGAAUAGUGACAAGGAUUUGGCAGCCAGGGUAUUGCCGUCGAUCUGGGCAUUUUGGGAAUUUUGCAACUCCGAACCCGCCAUUGCUUGCUAGAUGUGUGUGAUUGUGCUAAUUAGGGAUGGCAAAAAUGACACGCGAUGAGUAUUUUUGGGGAUUUUCCCUAUUUGAAAAAAGUAUGAGAAUAAUUUUAUAUUUAAUUUUAUAUUUGGGAAAGAGAUAAAUUUUUUUUUUUUACUUAAUUUCUUAUUCGGGGAGGGGAUGAGGAUGAGGUGGAAUCCCCAUCUCCUAUUCAUUUUCCUAUUUUUAAUUUAAUUUUUUAUUUUUUAAAAUUACUAAUAAAUAAAUUAUAAAAUUAUAAGUAUUGGUAAAAAUAAAAAAUAUCAAAAUAUUUAUAUUAUUAAAUUUUUAGGCUUAAUUAAUUAAUUAAAGUGUUAAAUUUUUAUUUAGGACAUUAAAAAAACGGACAGAUUCUAUUAGCCCAAAACUUUUAUUUUUAUUUUAAUAUUCAUUAAAUAUUUUAAACUUAAAUAUAUUUUUUAUUUAUUUUUAGAUGUUAUAAUUACCCACAAUAAAUCACAAUUUUAAUAUCUAAUAUAAUCUAAUAUUUACUCUUGAUUUGCUCGACUUAACUAUUGUGUUGUAAAAGGAAUAGUCCACAUUUAUAAAGUGCUCACGCCACCAUUUAUAAGUUAAUUUUGAAUCUGAAUUUGAUUUUAUUUGUAAUAAUUUUGUAUUAGACUAUUAAUUUAUUCAUGAUAGUUUGUAAUUCUUUAUGUAUUUUAUUUGAAAAUAAAGAAAUUAAGAAAUUGAAAUAAAAAAAAUGAUUUUAAUAUAGUCUUCUCAUGCUAAUGGAGAAGAUGGAUGAGGCAUUGGAGGAAGCAAAUUUGAUAUUGAGUUCAAUUGAAUUGAUCACCAUAAAGACAUGGUUUGUUAUGGACGGUUACUUUUGUUUUUUUUUUGUGGCAAAUGCGACCAAAAUGGGUAGCUUCACCCAUAAAACGACAUAACUGAGUAGUAGGUAUAGCGACAAUGCUUUCCCGAUUAUCAUUAUAUUUUUCUCUGUAGUUAUAAAUAAAGGUGACAAUUUGUUUCCAAAAGUAUCGUUAUUAAUCCUCAUCCGUUGAAUUAUAACACGUAAUUAUUACUUGGGAUGAUAUUGCUUUAUCGGAAUGAAGGAACGUAAUAACUUUAAAAAAAAAAUACAUAUGAUAUAUAAGAGCAUCAUUAGAAAAUUCUUUUAAUUUAAUUUUUUAAGAAUUUAUUUAUUUAUAUAUGUUAUAAAUAGAAGAGAGAAAAUAUCAUUUUUCAUAAGACUUUUCAAAUAAAAAUAAAUUUAUAUUAUUUUACUCAAAUUUUUUCUUUCAUUAAAAUAAUAACAAUUAUAACCAUUCCCUCUCUUUAAAAGUAAUGAAAUAAAAAAUAAUAUAGUACGAAAUUAAGUGUUCUAAAAGACUCUCUAAAUAAUUUUAAAAAAAAUUUCAAUAUGGACAAUUUUAUUUAAAAAUUAUUUUAAAACUCUUUUUAUUAACAUAACUCUUCAAAUAAAUAGUAAAUUUUCAUUUAAAAAACUUUUUAAAAAUGUCUAUAAUCGAGAAAAAAAAUAUUAACAACAAGGGUUCGGAUAUGUUGGAGUUCACCUACGGUGGAGAACGAAUCUCAGCCACAUACACAAAAUGAUAAAGAAUAAAUAAUGAGUUAUAAUGAGUUUUUUAAUAUUUAUUACUUUGCGUGUGUGGUUGAGAUUCGUGCUCCACUGUAAGUGAACUCUAACAUAGUCAUAACCUAACAACAACUACCAAAUCAAAUCUUUGAGCACAUGAUUUUAUAUGGGCUUCUACAAAUUGUGGACAUCCAUAAAUAAAUUAGAGUUCAUAAUCGAUUCUUGCUGUGACAGAUUCUGUUUAAUUUUUAAUUUAGAAUUUCUCAGUUACAAUUUACAACUCGUAUAUUCCUAUACAUGAAUUGCAAUGCCUUGGAUGCUUGUGUUGAAAUAUGAUGCAACCGAAGCAUGUGACGUUGUAUGACAUGUCAUGUAUAACGAAAAAAAUGUACGACUUGUCAUCCUUAAACUAAAAGACACGUAUGACAAUCAAAAACGGUUAUCUCCAAUUUAUAUUUCCAAUUACAAUAGUCAUUGAUUCAGUGAUCAGCAAAGUUAAAUCCUAGUUCUAAUAAUAUACUCAGGGUUUUUAUUUAUUUAUUUUGUCUUUUUAGGAAAAAAAAUUUGACUAACAGUCAUCAAGAUUGACUAACAGAUAUUACUUGACAACAAAUAAAGAAACUACUGCUCAAGAGACACUUUCAACAACGCAUAGACGUGAGGUAAAUAACAAGAGUGAAGAGAUGCUUAAUUGAUUGAUAAUCGAAGUUCGAAGCCUCAGUGUGCUAACAAGCAGUAAAGUCAACAACAGGAAGCUAUAAAUGGCAAACGUUAAUGCUCAUGAUGACAUCCAAAUCAAGUUCAGAAUCGUUGAACAUUUGAAAACAAUCACAACAGGAAGCUAUAAAUGGCAAAAGUAUGGAGGUGCCACUAUUGCCUGAGAGGGAAGAAGAGAGGAAAUGGGUGGUGGUGGUGCUACCACGGCUAUCCUUUUUGGAAGAGCUGAAGACGUUGAGCUUCUUAUCAGCGCCGCCGGCAGGGGUGGCCUGUUUUCGGUUCUUUUUGCUGGCUACAGCAACGAUGAUGGUGGGACACCUUGGAAAACUUUCACUUGAUAGUAUUGCCAUUGCUAACUCCUUAAUUAAUGUCAUCGGCUUCAUUCCACUUGUAAUAUUUUCUUCAUUCCCUUUUCUUUUUACCAUUAGAAAACUGCUUUACUUCUUCUUCUUCUUUGUUUCACAUCAAAGCAUGCUUCGUUUAUUUAAUCUAAUGACACUGCUUUGUAUGCCUUUUGUUUUGUAGCAAGUUAACAAUUUGCUUGUGCUCGCUAGAAAAUUGUUUAAAUGACUCAAUAUAAUCCACACAGCAAUAAUAUAACAAUAGCUAUUUUUAAAUCCAGAUCAACGACAAGCAACCACAACUAUAUGGUUAAACAAGUUAAAUCAAGCUCGUUUAGCUAUAAUAAGCAAUCAACUUUAGAACUUUAGCUUGACUUUCAUAGGUGAGAAUACCAAGCAGGUCUAUUUUGACUAGGCUAAGAUCAACAAAUUAAUAAACUUUGAUUAAUUAUUGGCGAAGAAUUAAUCAAUAUUACUUGGAAGAUAUUAAGAAACUUUGUUCACCUUUUCUGUCACUGGUCCAAAUAAUUUAUGAAGUACUUUUUUUAGCCUUUUUUUUUUUUUUUGGAAAGGUAGUACUUUUUGAGCUUGAACAAGCAUUAUUAUAACUGAUCUUAGUUUGCUCCAUAUUUUCCAUGCUACCGCUGUUUACAUAAAACGGAUUUUGGGAGAAUAGCAUAUAUUUCAUCAAUAAUCAAUUGAGACUGUUUAAGAUUAGCCUACAAAAUGAUAUCUAAUGUGGACAAUACCAUUAAAUUUUGAGCAGUUUGAUUUUGCCUGUGCAAUAGAGACUCUGUGGACAAGCUCAUGGAGCAGAGCAAUAUCAAAAGAUUGGAACCUAUACCUACCCUGCUAUGUUCUUUUGCAUUGCAAUUUGUAUCCCCAUCUCUGUUCUUUGGAUAUUCAUGGACAAAGUACUAAUACUGCUAGGCCAAGACCCUGAUUUUUUUGUCGAAGCCUGCAAUUACGCAAUUUGGCUCAUACUGACAUUAUUUGGCUAUGCUAUUCUUCGAUCACUGUCUCACAAUCUCCAGGCUCAGAGCUUGAUUCUGGCAUUGUUCUUAAGCUCAUGUGCAACUCUUUGUUUGCAAAUUCUUCUUUGUUGGGGUCUAGUAUCUAAAACAGACUUUGGAAAUACAGGAGCAGAAUUAACCAUAGGUAUUUCUUAUUGGUUCAAUGUGAUCAUCCUUGCACUUUACAUGGGAUAGAACUCACACGGUGAUCAUCAAGGAAAUUUUCCCUAGCACGAAGGAGUUUUCCUUCUUUGCACACCUUUCAGUUGUAAUGUUUUGGUAAUUUGCCUAUCGUACUUUGCAAUGUUUUUGUUAGUUUUCUGUUCUUAUAAAUUGACUUACAGUGUGCCUUUUGUUUCCAAUAACUAAAGUCUCGAAUGGUGGUCAUAUGAGAUUCUGGUACUGCUGUCUGGAAUAUUACCAAAUCCAAAACUUGAAACAUCAGUUCUUACAAUAUGGUACGUAUCUACACUUACAGUUUUGACUUUUGAGUAAACGGGGAAAAUUCUCAGUAAGGUUGAAUUGAUUUCCUUUGCUCUUCAUAUGCAGCUUUACAAUCCAGUCAACACACCAUUUGGUAUUAGUGCUACCGCAAUGUUUGAUCUAUAUGUUGUUUCAAAAGCAUGCACUUACGAGUAAAUGAAAUAAUUCAUUACCUACUAGUUAAAAAAACCCUGAUUAAUUCUGUAUACUGAGCUGUAUCGCAAUCCACCGUUUUGCAGCACUCGAGUGGCAAAUGAAUUAGGAGCUGGAAAUCCAGAACCAACUCGAUUGUCUACAUGUGUCGUGAUAUUUCUUGCAGUUGCAGAGGCAGCCAUAGGGAGCGUAGCUCUAUUCUGCUGCCGCAAUGUUUUGGCAUAUUUGUUCAACACUGACAAGGACGUUGUGAAUUAUGUGUCUGAAUUAGUUCCUGCUUAGCACUACCAUUUUCAUGGACAGCAUGCAAUCAGUACUUUCCGGUCAGAAUCCCAUCAUUCUGUCAGGACUUUUAUUUUCACUCUUUUCACUCAGCUAGUGCUUCAGAGCUUGAAAAAGAUUAGAUGAUUUAUUUCUCACCAAUCACUUUCCUUAUCACGAGUAGCUAGAGUAAUUGGGUGACAGCACAUAGGAGCUUAUUUAAAUCUCGGUGCAUUUUAUCUUGUUGGAAUUCCAGUAGCAUCUGUGCUAUGUUUUGUUCUUCAUCUUAGAACAAAAGGCCUUUUGCUCGGAUUAAUCAUUAAUGCCAGGCUCAACUGUCGCAAUUGCGCUCGCCAUCGUUACUUCUUUAACAAAUUGGGAAAAACAGGUUUCUAUUUCAUUUCACUCUUUUUUCAAAUUAUCUGCUUCUUCAGCAGUGAAUUAUCCUUUAAUUUUGCUGGCUGACAUUGAUCUUUCAUGUGGAUAUCUUUCCAGGCUACCUUGGCCAGAGAGAGAAUACUUAAGGGAGCAUCUUCAACUGAUAAUAGAUCGGUUCGAUGCAAAACGUAAUUAAACAUUUUGUUUCCAUCGUAUCAAAAUUUCUUAGGAUGUGAGCUGCGAGUAUAUACUGUUACAAAACCAAGACUAAUUUUGGACAAUGCUAUUGUUGUGGCAAUUAAUUUAUCGAACACUUGGUGUGCAGAAGCAAACCCAAGAAUUUUAAGAGCAAACAAUGUGCAAAUCACCAAUACAAUCAAUUUUGUGAAAUUGAUUCACAAGGCUAGGUCCUCGGAUAAUUCCUAGAUUUACCAUGAAAUUUUACAUUUAAAAGAAGUAUGAUAAACAUCCUUUAUUUUAAAAUACACAGAUUUUGUGAAUUCUUUCAUGAUUUGAAUUCUCGUAGUCACAAUUCGUAAUGGCGAUGGUUAUUAAUAUAUAAAAAUGUAAUGAUGAGUAUAGUUUAAUCCCAACCAUUAUUUGUGACAAAAACUUGAUGCAAGAUCUUAGACUCUUAGUUCGAAACGAAUAAAUGUUUUAAACCUCAGUCGCCUGAUGGAUCAUUGCCUUUGGCAUGAAUAUAGGCAUGUGUUCAGUUACAAUGGCGAAACAUUGGGGUUUUUUAUCAAGGAUUGUGCAUGGCCUGGCAGCAAGGAUGUCGUUGCAUAUCUGUUGAAGUGGAUAGCCUUUGUGUCACACAACUAGUCUCAAAUCCAGUGGCUCACACAUAUGAAUAUGGCCCUCUCCUUCAAGCCAUAAAGGAUCUCAUCAAGCAAGAUUGGCACAUCACCGUUCAACAUGUUUAUCGUGAAGCAAAUCAUGCUGCUGAUUUCUUGGUGAAUUAUGCUCUCUCUGCUCCUUUGGGCUUUGAUAUUUUCCAUAACCCCCUCCUGAUUUGGCUUCUAUUAUCAUUCAUUACAUGUAUGAGAGUAGCUUAUCCGUCUAAUUUUAUUUUAUCUCUUUUUAAAGCCCCUUUGUAUUGAAAAAAAAAAGACUUGUACAAACUAAACAUAGUCAAUUUCUAUCUUAAAUAAUCACAUUUAAGAUGGUUUAUGUGUUGAUCAAAUACUUGUUUAGGCUUUCAAACUAUAUAUGUUGAUCAAAUACACUGAGGCUCCGUUUGGUACAGCUUAUUAAAUAGAGCUUAUAACAGUAGAGUUUAUAGCAAUAGAACUUAUACUAAUAGAGUUUUUGGACAAAAAGUCAUUGGGUGUUUGGUUAUCAAUAAAAAAAGUAUUUUUGAACCAUUAAACUGUGUGAUAUUUUUUUAUUAUAUAUUUUUAGAAAAGCUCUCUAACCUCUACUCUCAAAAGCUCAAAUUUUGGGUUUUUGCUAGUAGAGGUAAAUUAGCUUAUUUAAGCUAAAAAAACUCUACUAAAAAAAACCAAACACCAUAAAAAUUUUUAAAAAGUACUUAUACGAUUAAAUAAGCACUUAUACCUUUUAAAUAAGCCAUACCAAAUAGGCACUGAGUAUGAAAUGUGGAUUGCAAAACAACUAAGGCAAAAUAGUCCCCAAAUAAUUAAAACAUGUUAAUUUCCACAACUGACAAAUAGAAGUGUCGUACAUUUUUCUAAGAGCGUGUCUUAAUCGUGCCGAUUAACAUCCAAAAUGUCUUUGUUAUUAGUCGAUUACUACUAGCAAUUAUUUUUAUUAUUAUAACAGUUACCACGAAAACAUCGUCGAGAUAUUUCAUACAUCUCAGUUCUCACCCCAUUUUCAUGCACAAAUAAAUUGAAAAAGAAAAAUCACUUAUGAAUGAUGAGAAUCGAGACUCUUGCAACAUAUCUACAUGGUAUAUUUUAACCAGGCACUGAGUGUAGCUAGGGACUGAUGAAAAUAUUGUAGCAGAGCUACCAAACUUGAGUAAUACGAAUUCAAAGUUGUUAGAUGACAUGGCAGCACACUUGGCAUUCAUUGGUGUUUUGGAAAGUUAAAGUGAUCAACCUUAUCUCUUAGCUUAUCAUUACUUCAAGAUUUACUUUCGUAUUUAUCAAGAUCAAGGUAAAGAUAACAAUUAUGCUAGGCUUGAUCUUAUUCUUGGCAUGAUCGUGUUUCCUGUAGAGCACUAUAAAUGUAAUGAUUAUGACUUAUGAGGUGAAUAAAAUAACAAAAAGGUGCUUUGUUUCUUCUUCAAGCCCAUCUUUAUAAUUUAAGUGGGACAACAUGAGAUGGUCAGCCUCUUGCAACAUACCUAAACUUCAGUAUGAUUGGUAAUCAACAAAAGUACUCAAGAGAAGCAUCUUUAUCCGAAUUAAAGAGAUCCAGUCUAUCAUUUAUUGUUGUAUUAUUAGCAUACAAUUAUUACCAGAGAAUACAAGCAUAUGGAGGUUCUGCCCGAGGCUGAGAAAGAAGAAGAGAAGAAGAAAUGGGCAGUAACACGGCGAGCGUUUGUGCAAGAGCUGAAGAAGGUGAGCUUCUUGGCAGCGCCUCUUGCCGGGGUAACUGUUUUUCAGUUGCUUUUGCCGGCUGUAUCAACGAUGAUGGUAGGACACCUUGGAAAACUUUCGCUUGCUAGCAUUACCAUCGCCACCUCUCUCACCAAUGUCACUGGCUUCACUCCACUCGUAAUUUGUUUUUCUUAAUUUUUACCAUUAAAAUGCCCUUCUAUCUCUGGCUUUACUUUUGAUUCUCUUUUCCUUUCUUUACUUUAGCUUGACUUUCAUGGGUGAUCAUAGCAAUCAACUUGAUAAAAUAGUAAGGGUAUAACAAAGGUUUUUCAUCAAACAAACAGUUUUAUAUACGUAUUUAGCUUAAAAGCUAUAGCUGCUAGGAAGCAAUACCAAAAGGAGUCUGAAUAAUUCGCCAUACCAUUUCACUCACCAGAGCAAAUAAUAUUUUCAUGUUCUGCUUGAGUUUGAACAAGAAUUAUAUUCUAACUAACCAUUUUGGUGUGCUACUGUACUUAACCAGAUUUGCGAGAAUUGCUUAUAUAUUUCUUCAUUAUUUCAAUCUGUUAAGAUUAGCCUGCAACAUGAUAUCUUAGUAUUUGUGUUUCUGAAUCAGGUACAAACUUGUCAAAUACAUGUAUAAUGUUGACGUUAACUUUAAAUUUUGAACAGUUUGGUUUUGCCUGUGCAUUAGAGACUCUAUCUGGACAAGCUUAUGGCGCAGAACAAUAUCAAAAGAUUGGGACGUAUACCUACUCUGCUAUGUUCUUUUGCAUUGCAAUAUGUCUCCCAAUCUCUGUUCUUUGGAUAUUCAUGGACAAAAUAUUAAUGCUGCUACACCAAAACCCUCAGAUUUCUGUUGAAGCCCGCAAUUAUGCAAUCUGGCUUAUACCAGCAUUAUUCGGCUAUGCGAUUAUUCGAUCACUGUGUCACAAUCUCUAGGCUCAGAGCUUGAUUCUAACAUUGUUCUUAAGCUCAUGUGCAACUCUAUGUUUGCAUAUUCUUCUUUGUUGGGUUCUAGUGUUUAAAGCCGACUUUGGAAAUACAGGAGUAGCAUUAUCCAUUAGUAUAUCUUAUUGGUUCAAUGUGAUCAUCCUUGCUCUUUACAUGAGACACUCUCCAUCGUGUACAAAAACUCGCACUUUGAUCUCCAAGGAAAUUUUGCCUUGCAUGAAGGAGUUUACCUCCUUCGCUCUCCCCUCGGUUUUCAUGUUUUGGUAUAAUUUGUCAAUCUCACUUUGCAAUGUUAUUGUUAGUUUCUGUUAUUAUUGGUUUACUUACAGCGUGCUGUUUCGUUCCCAAUAAUUAUAGUCUUGAAUGGUGGUUCUAUGAGAUUCUGAUAUUACUGUCGGGACUUUUACCAAACCCCAAACUUGAAACAUCAGUUAUAUCUAUAUGGUACACUUUUGACAUCACUUGUGGUUUGCUUUUGGAGAAUUUUUUGGGGAAACUCUCAUUAGGGUUGAAUUGAUUUAUGGUAGACUCAGGCUCAACCGUACAAGCAGUUGCGCUUGCCGUCGUUACUUCAUUAACCGAUUGGUAAAAACAGGUUUCUGUAAUUCAUUUUUACUUUUGUUCUAUGUGUUUGUUUCUUUGACAAUAUAUUAAUCAUCCUCUAAUCUGUUGGCUGACACUGAAUUUUUGCAUAAUUUCAUGUGGAUAUUUUUCCAGGCAACCAUGGUCAGGAAAGAAUAUUGGAGGGAGCACCUUCUACUAAAAAUCCAUCGGUUUGAUCCACCUAGGCUAGUAAUUAAUUACCCUGUUUUGUUUUUCAUUGUAACAAAUUACAUUCUCGAGACGAGAGCUGUAAAAUUUAAUAGUGGUGGCGUUCUGGCAAGCACCGGGUGACAAUUAUCAAACAGCUGGUGCGCAGAAGCAAAUAAACCCAACAAUAAGAGCUAAUUUUUUAUAACAGCUAGUCAGCUACCACAAACAAUUUUUUUUUUCUUCAUAAUGAACUUCAGAAGAGAGAGAGAGGGGGGUAAAAAGCUAUAAUAAUAAUUAAAAAAAAAACUUAGAAAUAACUCCUAAUAAUAAUAAUAAUAAUAAUAAUAAUAAUAAUAAUAAUAAUAAUAAUAGUCAGGUGGAUCAUAGUACGCCACUACGCCUUAUAAUUCGUAAUAAAAGUAUACUAUUGAUGCGAGAUUCUGGUUACCCUUUUGACCACGACCAGGAUCUCUGCUCAAUCAACUCGACCACGAUCAGGAUAUCUCCUCUUAAGGAUUCUUCUCCAGAAGUUCAUGCGCACACAAAAACAGGUCAAAGCACGCCGGUUGUUUUCCCGGCGUACCCAACGACGCUCAAGUUAGAAAUGAAGGUUUUGUGUUCCUGGGAACGCUAGCCACAAAUCUUAUGGCUUCUUUCUUAUAUUAAUUCUUUAGAGCUCUUUUUAUCUCAGUUCUAAUAUAAAAAAAUCUAACCCUUUUACCUUCGUUGGCUGUCUUUUUAUAGGCUCCUCCUGAGUCUAGAUCUUUCCCUCCAUUCAUGCCCGUUACUUUCCCACCUCUCGAAAGUGGAUGCUCCGUUUCCGUAAUCGUGGGUGGUUGCAUGGCCUUCGUGCCUUGAUUCUCAGGUUGGAGAGUACGUCUCGCCAACUGUUGUUGACUAGGUCUCUUCGCCUCAACCCUUAGCAGGAAUGGCUUUAUGCUUCUAACAGGAGACUGGCUUUGCGGAUGGCGUAUUCGUGGACGAGUAGAUAUUCCUGCUCCUGUUCCCCUGCUACCAGACUUCUGCAAGAUAUACCUGUUCGUGGAACCCUACUACCAGACCUCUGCUCAUCACGGCUGGUCUCGUCAAAGUACAUCCCCCAAACAUCGGUCCCCCAGUUUCUGGUGUCGGGUAACAUAGUGAGCCAACAGUAGAAACUCGACAGUUCUUGCUCACGCGGGAUAGGAAAAGGCUGCCAAGAGUCGUGUCGCAUUUAAUUACGGAUGAGGUGAUGUGGCAGAAAUCUACCCCUCCAUUUGAAUUUCAAAUCGACGGUUACGAAACCCUAGAAAUUUAUGCCGUUAAAUGCCGGCAGCCCAAGAGUUUGUUCUUCAUUAGGAAAACCCAAAACCCCCAAAAGAGAAACUCGUCUUUUACUCCGUUUCUGUCUCUCCGGCGAAUGAGUCUUUCAUCUCCCUUGGCGUAAAAGCUUCAUUCCUUGUCUCUCUCUGACUAAGUCACAACUUCAGGUAUUAUUUUUUUUUCCUCGGUCGUGGAUAGUUGUAAACAAUUUCUUUUAUAUUUUGCUUGGGUAGUGUUUGGUGGUGUAGUUCUGGUUAUAGUUUAGGGAAUGUUGAAAGGUAAGGAGAAAGUCAUUGAGAUUGAUGACGAUGAGUUAGAUUUCUUGCCUAAUUUGCUCGCCGAUUCUGCUUUCGACCCUGGGAUCCCCUUAGAACCCCUUAGACCUAGUGUUGCGACUAGUGCUAAGAGGGUGUCCCCCCAAGUAACCUCCUCAACCGGAAAUAGCGACGACAAGGGUUCUUCUGGUUCGGAAGACACUUUGAGUGAAGAUCAGGGAAAUGAUUCUGGUGCCCUCACCAGGAACAUCGCGACCAGAUAAGAGGGGCACAGUAGGAGGUAGGGCUCUAUCGCAGAAUUACGCUAUUGAUUUUAUGACGUGCACGACCAGAGUAGAUGAGCUAGUUAGUCUCCGGGCUAGAUACGGCAUCCCUGAUGAAAUUCCCCUUAGGAUCCCAGGAAAAAAUGAUACCCCCAGCCGGCCUCCUAGGGGGUAUGUUACUCUGUUUCUAGAGAGUUUUAAACUUGGGCUAAGGUGCCCCAUACAACCCUCCUUUGCCCGAAUACUCAAUGGGUUGAAUUUAGCUCCUGGUCAACUGAACUCUAAUGGGUGGCGAGUACUUUCUAGUCUAUUCAUAUUGUGGGACGGAUGUUGGCAAAGCGAGCCAACAGUUGACGAGGUGAAGCACCUGUACUAGCUAAAAAGCAGCCCCAAAGAUGCCGGCUGGUAUUACUUCCAGUCUAGUACCAAGAUCAGGAAACACAUAACCGAUCUUCCAACUGGUGGUGGUGGGACUUGGAAGAAAAAAUUCUUUUUUGCUAGGGUCCUUGGGGUCAAGUUGCAUAGAUUGACGGGAAGGAUUACCGCGUCCUACCCCGUUUCGUGUUCUCAGGUUACCUGCUCGCUUCAGAUGUCUUGUCUCUAUAGUCGUUCUCAUUUUGCUGAUUUGAAGCGAGCAGGAUGUUGUACGAACCGAGAGCUGCUAACUACUUUCAACUUGGUCGAAUCUCGUUUGGUGUCUACCGGCCAUAAAAUGGAGGAUGCUGUGAUCGGGGCCCUGACUCGGAAACGUCCUCAACCUCAUGCUACCCAGCAGGACCAGAAUAAAUACGCUCCCACUGCGAAGCGGGUGAACAUUAUGCAGCAGGUUCCUCCCUUGAAGACCCUACCACCUUCUCCUGCCAAAGUCGGAGAAACUAGCGGAGCAGCCACCGAUCCCGCUUCCUCUUCUCCUCCAGUCGGGCCGAGAUCUCGUUUAUCUGACAAUCGAGCAGAGCAUUUGGUCCCCUAUAUCAACGAGUUCUCUAAACUCGUGAGCAAGAGGGACCUGGAGGACUUUGACGGCAGCACCUUGGGUGAGCUGGUGGGGGCCAUGCAAUAUAGCGCUUUCUAUCUCAGCUGCAUGGCCACUUACUAUAAGGCCAAGGUUGAUCGUUAUGACUGGAAGAUGAAGAAGGACAUUCAAUCGGCCAUGACCAAAGCUGAUGCUGUCGAAAAGAAAGUAGGGGACUUGAAUCUCGAGAAUCUAAAGUUGAUGGAGCGAGAAUUUCUUACUCAAGCAAAGGCCAUUACUCUGGAGGAAGAGUUUACUAAGGUCAAGGAGGAUCUGCAAAGGCAGAAGGUUAUGUACGAGGCUCAGCUCGAAUCUCUUCGUGAUUCCCACCAGGUUCAGGUCGAGAACUUGGAGAGGAAAGCUGACAACCAAUACGACCAGGGACUUCGGCAUUCCUAUCGUUGUAUCAUGGCCGUCCUUGGGAAGCAGCACCUUGAUCUGAAGAUGGAUGACCUUGCUGCUGGUGUUGCUCAACACAUGGACGAGGAGGCAGCAAAAGAGGAUGUCGAAGAGGUGGAGCCAAUUGCGGUUGAGGAGGAAGACUCUCCUCCUCGUGCAAUCCCUGUUGAUGCUGCUGAGGCGAGUACCCCCCGGAUGCAACUGGUGAUACCCCCCCUGCACCUGAGGUGGACCAACCAACCGAGGCUGGUCGGCUUACUGACCCGCCGUCCUCUUGAAUGUAUCUUGUAUUGUGGUGAAUAUUGUAUGCGAAGGUUAUUAGCCUUGCAAGUUAUUCACAUAUUAAUAAAAUGUUUUCUAAUUGUUUUCUUGUGUUAUAAUUGCAAGUUAUUUUUCGUUUGAGAUUCUGCUCGCCUUCGCUUAGUCGAGCAGAUCCUGGCAUGCUUGGCUUCUGGUCUUGCCAUAAACAGACUUUGAGACAUGGUGAGCCUUUGCAUGCCUUAGAAACUUUUCAAUGUUUAGGAUUCUGCUCGCCUUCGCUUGGUCGAGCAGAUCCUGGCACGCUUGGCUUCUGGUCUCGCCAUAAAACAGGUUUUGAAACUUGUUGAGCCUUUGCAUGCCUUAGAAAUUUUUUAAUGCUUGGGAUUUUGCUCGUCUUCGCUUGGUCGAGCAGAUCCUGGCACGCUUGGCUUCGGGUCUCGCCAUAAAAUAGGCUUUGAGACUUGGUGAGCCUUUGCAUGCCUUAGAAAAAUUUUUGAUGCUUGGGAUUCUACUCGUCUUCGCUUGGUCGACCAGAUCCUGGCACACUUGGCUUCGGGUCUUGCCAUAAAAUAAGCUUUGAGACUUGGUGAGCCUUUGCAUGCCUUAGAAAUCUUGUAUCAUUACAGUUAACUGAAAUUCCUCAUUGAUUCAUUAAGUGAUGAAUUCGGCUUACACGAGUUUGUUUGGACAUAAAAUAAAUAAUAACGAGCACGAACAGAAAUAACUUUAAAACAUGAAUAAGUCUUACUGGAAAUAUUUCCUGAGGUGCGCUGCAUUCCAUGGGCGUUUAACCUCGUGGCCAUCCGUGCGAACAAGCUUGUAAGCUUUGGGUCCAACUAUCUGCUUGACCCUGUAUGCCCCCCCCCCCCCCCCAAAUUCGGUCCAAGCACUUCUUGAGUCGAGUCUUUGGUGUUCUGAUUCACUCUCCUUAACACCCAAUCUCUGACCUUGAACUGCCGUACACUCACCUUCUGGUUAUAAUACCGAGCAACCCUCUGCUGGUAAAUGGCUGAUCGCUUCGAUGCUUGUUCCUUCUUCUCAGUUAGCAAAUCCAGAUUCAGGCACAUCUGCUCGUUGUUCUCCUGCUCAUCGAAAUGAUCUGUUCGGUGCGUGGUCGUUCAUAUCUCGGCUGGUACGACUGCUUUAUGUCCGAAGGCCAGGGCGAACGGUGUUUCCCCAGUUGCUGUUUUAUGGGUUGUCUUGUAUGCCCAUAAAACACCUGAUAGUUCAUCAACCCAUGCACCUUUUUUUGCUCCAAGCCUGGUUUUCAAAAGCCUUUUUUGCUCCAAGCUUGGCAGAAAUCCCUAAAGCUAUGAUUAUCGAACUGCCUGGCAUUAUCCGUUAUCAACGCAUAAGGGAUCCCGUACCGACAAACCAGAUUUCUCCAUACGAAGUCUGUUGUCUUCUUCUUUGUGAUCCUGCUGAGGGCUUCUACCUCUAUCCACUUCGUGAAGUAGUCUAUUACUACUAUUGCAUGUGUUGCUGCUCCUCGUCCCCUUGGCAACGGCCCGAUCAGAUCAAUUCCCCAUUGAGCAAAUGACCAGGGGGAGGCCAUAGAGGUGAGCUUCUCUGGUGGUUAAUUGGAGAAACUUGCAAAACUCUGGCAGCUUACGCAGCUCCUGGUCUUCCCCUGCGCAUCCUGGUGCAUUGUUGGCCAGAAAUAUCCCUGCCUUAGAACCUUGUGGGCAAGGGACCUCCCACCAGAAUGGUUUCCACAUAUUCCUUCAUGUACUUCUCUCAGUACGUAGUCUGCAUCAUCCUCAUCCAAGCACUGAAGGAACGGUAGCGUAUAUCCUCGCCGAUAUAGUACCCCAUCAAUCAUUGUGUAUCUUGAGGUAUGGGCUCUGAUCUUCCGGGCUCCUAGCUUAUCUGGUGGUAAUACCUUGUCUCUAAUGUACGAAGUUAUCGGAUCCAUCCACAAGUAUCUUUGUUCUAUCUGCAUCACCUCCAAAUUCUGCUCGAUGUUAGGGUUGGUUUUCACUUCCAAAUGGAUCGACUUAGGCAUUUUCGGGUCUGCUAUAGCUGACAUCCUGGCCAGAAUAUCUGCUCGACUAUUCUGCUCCUUCGGUAUUUAUAUCACCUCAACCACUUUGAACUUCCCCAUCAUCUGCCUGACUUUCUUCAGGUACUGCUCCAUCUUCUCCUCUCUCGGUUGAAAUCUUUCACUGACAUGAUUUACAACCAGCUGGGAAUCAGUUAUGAUAUUCACCUUAUAUAUUUUUACUGCCUUAGCCAAUUCUAAACCUGCUAUCAAGGCUUCGUAUUCUGCCUGGUUAUUCGUGGCUGUGAACUCUAACUUUGCAGCAUAAGAGAUCUCCUCCCUCUCUGGGCUUUCCAAGACAAUCCCUGCUCCAGACCCCUUCUCCCCUGAGGAUCCAUCCACUGACAUUUGCCAUACCCGAUCUUCAUUGUUGACAGUUGCAGCAUCUGGUGGGUCAAAACCAACUUCGGGCUCUGUGAAUUCUGCUACGAAAUCGGCCACUGCUUGUGCCUUUAUUGUUGCUCGGGGUUUGUAAUCUAUGUCGAACUCACUCAACUCUGUAGCCCACUUCACGAACCAACCAGAAGCAUUCGGCUUGUGUAGAGUUUGUCGCAGUGGCUGGUUUGUUAUUACAGAGACGGGGAAUGCCUGAAAGUACGGUCUCAGCUUUCGAGCAACAACCACAAGGGCGAGUGCCCAUUUCUCCAACGGUGGGUAUCUGGUCUCGGCGUCGAGAAGGGCCUUGCUGGAGUAGUAUAUUGGAUACUGAACCCAUUCUUCCUCUCUCACUAGAACAGAACUUGCGGCAUGAUCUGAUACCGCCAAAUAUAAGAACAACAUAUCCUCAUCUCUUGGUGUGGACAACAGAGGUGUUUGCUGUAAGUAUUGCUUCAAGUUCUGGAAGGCUUCUUCACAUUCUGGGGUCCAUUCUGUUUUCUUUCCUCUCCUUAUCACUUGAAAGAAUGGCUGACACUUAUCCGUAGCCUUGGAUAUGAAUCGGCUUAAUGCCGCCAACUUCCCCGUAAGGCUCUGCGUCUCCUUCAGGUUACGAGGACACCUCAUCUGCACGAUCGCCUGAAUCUUCUUGGGAUUUACUUCAAUCCCCCUAUGACUCACCAUGAACCUAAGGAAUUUGCCCGACUCGACCCCAAAAGCACACUUCUCCGGGUUGAGCUUCAUCUUAUACUUCCUCAGAAGUCCAAAUGUUUCCUCGAGAUGUUCGACAUGUUCCUUUGGGAUUUUUGACUUGGUUAUCAUGUCGUCCACAUACACCUCCAUUGUUCUCCUGAUCAGUGGCUUAAAGAUUUUGUUCACUAGCCUAUGGUACGUGGCCCCCGUAUUUUUAAGACUGAAUGGCAUUACCCUGUAACAGAACAGACCCUGGUUAGUAAUAAAUGUCGUGCUCUCCUCAUCCUGCUCGAACAUGGGGAUUUGAUUGUAUCCCGAGAAUGCGUCUAUGAAGCUGAGCAGACCAUGUCCAGCUGUUGAUUCUGCAAGCUGGUCAAUCUUUGGUAAGGAAAAUCUGUCUUUCAGCCACGCCUUAUUGAGGUCCAUGAAAUCCACACACAUCCUCCACUUGCUAUUAGCUUUUUUUACUAGCACCACAUUCGAUAUCCACUCAGGAUAAUUGACUUCUCGAAUGAACCCUACUUUCAAGAGCUUCUUCACCUCGCUGUUUAUAGCCUCAUACCUCUCCUGGUUGAAGCACCUCUUUUUCUACCUUACUGCCCGAGCACCUUUCUUUAUUGCCAGCUUAUGACAUGCUACCUCAUGGUCGAUCCCUGGCAUGUCUUCAUGUGUCCAAGCGAACACAUCUGCAUGAGCUCGCAGGCAUUGCACCAACUCUUGCUUCUGCUCUUCUUUAAGCUUCGACCCAAUUCGGAUCUUUUUUCCUGAAUCCUCUUGUCCCAGGCUUACUGUCUCAAGCUCCUCUACAGGUUCUUGUCUGUCAUUCUUGGCUCCCACUCGGGUAUCAAGGGAUAUUAUCUGCAUUGCUUCCCUUGCUGCCGAAGAGUAACAGCUUCGUGCGAUUCUCUGGUCGCCUCGUACCACUCCAACUACCCCAUUCACCCAGUACUUGAGAACUAGAUAAUGGUUGGACAGCACCACUUUGCUCAUCCUAAAAAAUGGUCGACCUAGGAUUAUCUGGUAAGGACCCUCCUCAUCAACCACUACAAAAUCCAGCAUCAUAGUUCUUUCUGUCGGAUAGUUACCAAUCGUGAUAGGCAGUUCAACCACGCCCAGAGGAACCAGCUUUCCUCCUCCAAAUCCCUUUAAGGAGGUAUUGGUGUGCUCCAACCUCAAAUCUGAUAUUCUCAUCUCCUCCAGAGUUGACUUAAACAACACAUCAAUUGAGCUUCCUGUGUCAACCAGUAUCCGGUCAAACUUCUUGCUAGCAGCGGUGGCCUUGAUGACUAAGGCAUCCUCGUGUGGGCAUAGAAUCCAUUCUUCAUCCUCAUCUGUCCACAUGAUUGGCAUUUGCCUUACUCUUGCUCGUUUGGCUGCUGGGGUGUUGAAGAAUACCUCUUUACUAGUCAUGGCAUAUCUAGCAUAGUUCUUCCUCGACCUGUUGGAAUCUCCAGCCAACGUUAGACCCCCAUCAAUCACUCUUACUAUAGGCUGCUCGUGGCUCAAGUUCCUGUUACUCUGCUCCCCUUCACAUGCCGAGGCCAUCAUCGGAAAAGUUCUAUCUAUAAACUCGUCCAGGUAUCUAUUUCUCACCAAAUCUUCAACCUGGGUCUUGAGGUCUCUACAUUCUGUUGUGGUAUGGCCAUGAGUGUCAUGGAACUUGCAAUAGUGUCCCAUAUCCCUCCUGCCGAGUAGCUUUGUUAUUGGGGCCGGGAGGUACAGUAAUCCCCGGUCCUUUAUGGCUUCAUACACCUCGUCCAGGGACAUCUUCAAGAAAGUGUACCGCCCAUAGUCCUGUUUCUAGUCGAUCAUGUGCACUGCCCUUUCUCUAUUUGUGCCAUUCUGAGUUGGAGGUGGUGGCAGCGCUUCUGGUCUGCUCCCUCUACUACCAUGGGGGUGUGGGUGAAGGUGACCAUAUGCCGCGUCAUGCCUUCUCCAAGGCUCCCUAGCUGGUGAGCGAGGAGGUUGCGCUAUGCUGCGUGAAUACUGUGGUGGCCUCUGAUGAGGUUGGUAAGCGGUUACCCGACCUCCUGUACCACUACCUGAGGCAUGGUAGUCCCUCCUCUUAAUCGGCCCAUUUCCUGGUACGGCCCUCUUCUCUUUCCUCUUUAAUCCUUCCAGUUGGUCUGUCUUAAUCCGUGCUGCCUUUUCCUCCUCGAUUUCUAUGUCUCUCUUAGCCUGCUCGUAAGCAGCUGAAUAUGUCUGAAUAGCUAGGCUUCUCAAGUUAUACCACAGCCAUCCUAUCUUCACUCCUUAUUUCAAUCCCCUUAAUGCCUGAGGAUGGUUGAAGGCUCCCAAGUCGAAGAUAACAAGGUGGAACCUUUUGAUGAAUUCCCGAAGGGUUUCCUCUUCUCUCUGCUUCAUGCUCGUCAGCUCCAUCAUAUCAUCUUCCGGUGCCAUUGCCCUACAAAACUGCUCUGUAAAUUCCUGGCACAUCUGCUCGAAGGUUUUAAUGCUCCCCCGAGGAAGUUUCUUGUACCACUCACGUGCUCGUCCCUCUAGAGAUAGUGGGAACACCCUACAUCUUUGGGCUUGAGAUAGUCCUUGCACUCCGGUUAUGUCGUUGAAGUGCUCUAUGUGCACCAACGGAUCAGUUCGCCCCGAAUAUCUGAGAUCUGGGAGGUGAAAAUCUCUUAGAAUGACUGCCCUUAUGAUCUCUGCCGAGAGCAGGGAUUCUCCGUCCAGUACUAUCCUCCAACCAGGUGCUCUACUCCUUCCUUACAUAUCAUCAAUUACAUGCGCUAGUCUGUGCACUUCCUCCUCUAGCUGCACUGCACUGCACUACCAGGGUCACGUGCUGCAACUUGAUCCCGCUCUUGCUCUACAUCAUAUAAGUGUUGCCUGAGCUCUGUUUCCUCUGCAUUCACCACCCCGUCAUUCUCAUCAAAAAUCUGUCUUCCUGGGGAUUGCUCUUCUUCUCUAUGAAUUCCUCCAUGUAGAGAUAAGUUACCUCGUUCACCACCAAAUCUCCUGGUGGUCUGACUUCUCAUCAUACCGUCGUGCCCUGGUGCCACUCCGCCACCUCUCACCUUUUCCUCAUAAGUUCCCCUUCGUUCACCCCUCAGUUCAUAUAGGAUGAUUGUCAGGGUCUCCAUCUGCUUUUCCAUCCGUUCCAUUCGGUCAUGCAUGGCUUUUUCCUGUGCUUCAAUGGCUAUCUCCCUCAACGUCACGGAUUCGUUAAGCCUCAUAUCACCUCCUUGUGCACUACUUCCUCCUACAUCCAUUGUUUCUUCUCUUGCUUUGCUUUUCCUUUCUCUGUCAACAGAAGUUUUUUUAUUAGCUCUCCACAGACGGCGCCAAAAUAUUGAUACGAGAUUCUGGUUACCCUUUUGACCACGACCAGGAUCUCUGCUCAAUCAACUCGACCACGAUCAAGAUAUCUCUUCGUAAGAAUUCUUCUCCAGAAGUUCAUGCGCACACAGAAACAGGUCAGAGCACGCCGGUUGUUUUCCCGACGUAAACCCUCCGACGCUCAAGUCAGAAAUGAAAGUUUUGUGUUCCUAGGAACGCUAGCCACAAAUCUUAUGGCUUCUUUCUUAUAUCAAUUCUUUAGAGCUCUUUUUAUCUCAGUUCUAAUGUCAAAAAAUCUAACCCUUUUACCUUCAUUGGCUGUCUUUUUAUAGGCUCCUCCUGAGUCCAGAUCUUCCCCUCCAUUCACGCCCGUUACUUUCCCACCUCUCGAAAGUGGAUGCUCCGUUUCCGUAAUCGUGGGUGGUUGCAUGGCCUUCGUGCCUUGAUUCUCAAGUUGGAGAGUACGUCUCGCCAACUAUCGUUGACUGGGUCUCCUCGCCUCAACCCUUAGCAGGAAUGACUUUAUGCUUCUAACAGGAGACCAGCUUCGCGGAUGGCGUAUUCGUGGAUGAGCAGAUAUUCCUGCUCCUGUUCCCCUGCUACCAGACUUCUGCAAGAUAUACCUAUUCGUGGAACCCUGCUACCAGACCUCUGCUCAUCACGACUGGUCUCGUCGAAGUACAUCCCCCAAACAUAUACUGCUGAAACAUAAAUUAAAAAAAAAAAAACACUCGAUGAGAUAACAAUACAAAGAAACAACUAAACCAAUUAUUUAGAAAAUCAUAUUUGCAUACCACAAACUAAUUUAAAGAUAACGUAUGAUAUAACAGCAGUAGCAGAAAUAAGGUUGAUACAAUAAUUAAUGAAGCUCUACGCUACACCAAUUAGUGGUACCAUACCAUGCAUGAUCCAUCACACAGAGGAAAAAAAAAAGAUUUUAUUUAGCUUACUAUAUACGUAUUGCCAGCAGCGUGCAUGCUAGUACGGGGGAGGGGGAGGAUGAGGAGGGCGGUUCCAAGGCGGCGUUGGCCUGUAACGAUCAUAGUUGUAAGGAGGUGCAGGAUCGAGGGGCCCCGAGGCGUUGCAAAAGAAGGGGGUGGAGAGUUAUGGUGAUGGUACCGAGGAGGUGGUGGAGGAGGCAAAUGGAACAAUUCGGGGCGUGGUUGAAAUAUAAGUGUGCAACCCAAGAGGGGGGUGAAUUGGAAUUUAAAAAAUUAUCCUAGCAAAUCCACACAACAAGCAAUCUAAUGUCUUAAUAAAAAUUGAAAACAAUAAAUUCAAUCAUGCACAAUAUUAAAAGAGUAAGGGAAGAGAAAACAAACACAAUGAUUUUUACGUGGUUCGGCAAUCCCCGCCUACGUCCACGCCUCCAAGCUCACAGGGCUUGAGGAUUUCACUAAGCUAGCCUCUCAAGGCUUCAAACGCUUACAAUUGACUUCCAAGGUGUCAAUGGACCUUUACAACAAGAGAUUAUCCCCAAUCUCUUAACCCAAGUGUAUCCCAACACUUACAAUCUUUUAACUUGAUUUUACAAAAAAAGAUUACAAAUGAAUCUCUCUCACACAAUGUGUUUGAUCACAAGUAAAAGCUCAAUGUGUGAAUGAAUGAGAUGAAUACAAGAAUUUAAAGCUCAAUGAAAGUUGUAUUCUCAAUAUUUUGCUCAAUGAUGAUCGUUCGAAUUCAUCUUGUUUGAAUUGGAUUGAGCUUAUUUAUAGUUGGAGCUGAAAAACUAGCCGUUAUAGACUGUCUGCUCGAAAACGGUUCGCCGUUAACCAUUAACGGUUAACCGUUUAGGCUGGUCAAAGUUACCGUUGGGUCAAUUUUCAAAUAAACGGUUAGCCGUUUAGGAUUACCCUUUCGCCGUUAAUUUUCAGAGACCUGUAAAACAAAUUUGGUUUAACCGUUCUUACUAAACGGUUCAAGGUUAGCAAUCUGGAAAUAAUCGGUUAACCGUUUUCAGUAAACGGUUCACCGUUAGUUUCCAGAAUCAUCAUUUUAACAAUACUUUGCAGAACAUGCUUUCUGGAAAUUAUCGGUUAGCCGUUUUAAAUAAACGGUUAGCCGUUUGCUACAGUGAUUGCUACAGUGAAAAUAUUUUCUAAAUUUACAGUUUGACCCCAAAACUUUAUAAAACUAUAUUACGGCCCAAAACGUUAUGAAACUUUGCACAUAUGUCCAAUUUCAGAAUUUCUAAAUAAUACUUUGUUAAUCCUAAAACUUUCUGAAAUUAUGGUAUAGCCCAAAAUACUAUGACACUUUUCAAAUAAGUCCUUUACCAAGAUUUCAAGCAAUACAUGUUUAUUUCAAAGUUUUCAAAAUUCUUUCAAUUAAACCAUAAACUUUGAAAAACAACCAAUUUCAUAAAAUCAUUUUUCCAUUAAAUAUGAAACAUUUAUAAUGUGAAAAUAAUGAUUUAUUUAAAAAGAAUAAAAACAAUCAAUUUCAUAAAAUCAUUUUUCCAUUAAAUAUAAAACAUUUAUAAUGUGAAAAUAAUGAUUUAUUUAAAAAGAAUAUUAAAUAAUUUGAGCUUAAAAGAUUAAUCAUUCUUAAUCUUGUUUGUUAUCAUCAAAAUCAAUAUUAUGGAAACAUAUAUGUUAACAGUGGUGGCGGUGGUGGUGGAGGUGAAGGACCGUAAACGUGAGGUGGCGGUGGUGGGUGAGGAGCAUAUGGGUCUGCUACUGGUGGUGGUGGUGGUGGAGGACUUGGACCUGGACCUGGACGGUGGUGUCUAUGAAAUGCCAUGUUUUUGAAAGUUAGGUGAUCAAUACAAAGUGUUGUGCUGUUGUUUUUGUUUUAAGGGAUUUGGAGUUGUUCGUAUGUACACUAGAAACAUGUAUUUCCUUUGACGGUUUGUUGGAUGACGUGCAGAUGUUUGUGCCUCGGCUUCCUCAGCCAAUCAGAAUUUUAUUUUUGUCAAAAUUCGUUUCGUCUCCUCAUAUACUCCGUUUCAAGAGUGCAUAAUAUUUUAUUGACUAUUAUUAUUAUUAUUAUUAUUAUUAUUAUUAUUAUUAUUAUUAUUAUUAUUAUUAUUAUUAUUAUUAUUAUUAUUAUUAUUAUUAUUAUUAUUAUUAUUAUUAUUAUUGGUUUUGACUAUUUUAUGAUGUUUAGACUUUAGACUACAAGAUAUGAUGUCAAAAAUAGACCCAUGUAUAAUAAUAUUAUGUUGUUAUCUUUCAUUUUGAUAACAAAAUCUCUUCGUAUCAUCGCAGAUUAUUCAUUUUCAUUUUACGAAAAGUAAAAAAAAAAAGCAUGGUUGUAAAGAAACUGCACCAUUAAUUAAAUCGUGAAAAUAUUAUUAAUCAUUACUAUAUGAUUUUCUAACUUUCUAAUACCAGUAACCAUAUUAUAAUAUACUAACACACUUUUUUUUCAAUUACACCAAAUUAUUAUUAUUAUUAUUUUCAUAAUAAAUUGAAGCUGUAAUAAUAUUUUUAGCACCAUUCCAAUUUAUUCAAUAAAUAUAUAAUUUAUUAUUUUAUAAAAUAGGCGGCCUCUAACUCUAGUUGAAAAAAAAAGGAAAAAAAAUUGAAUCGAGAACAUGUUUGAGAAUACAACAAAAAUUAUACCAUUCAAAGAAAAAUUAUAAAACCUAAGGGGUAUUAACAAAAAUUCCUUGGACUAGGCCAGGCAAUGUCUGCCACUGGUGGAAAGUAGAUAUUUAUUUGCAUUUGUGGUUGUAAUCGAAAAUGGUAGGGAUAGUGAAUCUUUUAGGUGUAUUUCUUACGGGUGUCGUAAUUUUGACAUCGACUAAAACUUGUUUAAAUUUUGACAUUUUUAUUAGUGCAUUGAAUGUAACGUGUUGCUAUUACGAUGUAGGGAUGGCAAUAGGGAGGGGAGGGGAGGGGACCAAUCUCCCUAUACCCAUUCCUGAUAUUUUGUUAUGUCCCCGUUCCCUCCGCGUCCCCGUCAGAAUUGCUUAAGAGAAUCUUUAUCCCCUCUCUGAAUAAUAACAGGGGAUCCCCGAGGGUCCCCGGUCCCCGAAUAACUAAUAGUCUAAUACAUUUUUUUUUAUUUUUUUUUAAAUUAAUCAUAUUAAAAUAAAAAAUUCAGAUAAAAAUAAAGUUUAAAAUAUAUCUUGCAUUAAUAUUGAUCCAUUACAAAGUCACAUUCAAAAUAUAAAUUAUUAAAAUAAUUAUCUUUGUCAAUGACUCAAUCUUCAUAAUCCUACAAUAAAAAGAAAAAAAAUUAUUUUUAUAUCGGUAAUAAAAUAAAUAAAAUAAAUGUAGAUACUUAAUUAAUAUUUUUAAUAAAACUAUUUACCUCCUGCUCCUCCUGUUCUUCCUCGAGAAAUGUGGCAAAUUGAGAGCUAGUCUCAGAUUUCAAACCUAAAACAAUGAAAAUGAUAUAAGUAACGUAACUUAUAAGUGCAAAUAUUAAUUACUGUAUAAUAUAAUUACAAUGUAAAAUAAACUCAUACUGCUAUUGUAAGCUCGUAACCAACUUUGACAGCACAUUAAGGCCUCCAAUGUGUUUGGAUGAAGUUUGUUACGGUGUGCACUCACAACUCUACCACCGGUGCUAAAAGCUGAUUCAGAAGCAACUGUUGUAAUUGGAAUUGCCAAAAUAUCUCUAGCAAUUCGAGCUAAUGUAGGAUUCGAAUUAGGAUUAGAACUGUUGUAAAUUAUAAUUAGGCAGCUCUCUCCUGUAUCAUUGUGGUUUAGAUUAAAAAUUUAAGACUUUAAUUAGUUAAUUAAGUUUAAAAGUUUAAUAAUAUAACUAUUUUAAUAUUUAUUAUUUUUAACAAUAUUUAUAAUUUUGUUAUUUAUUUAUUAGUAAUUUUAAAAAUAAAAAUAAAAUUAAAAAUUAAAAUGGGGAAAUGGGUAGGGGAUGGGGAUUCCACCUCAUCCCCGUCCCCUCCCCGAAUAAAAAAUUGGGUAAAAAUUUUUCCCGUCCUCUCCCCGAAUAAAAAAUUGGGUAUAAAAUUAUCCCCGUACCCCCCCCCCCCCCGAAUGAGGAAAAUCCCCGAGGGUACCCGUCCCCGUGGGAAUUUUUGUCAUCCCUAUUACGAUGUCACGAAGUCAAGACUCUGUCCUGCUUUCUGCUUCGGCGUUUGUGAUUUGGCUUUGCCAACACCUUCUUCCCUUUCUAAUAUUGUAUUUCCUCCUAUGGUAGGGUGAAUAUUUACUAAUGCUGCAGUGCACACGUCACGAGAACUGGGCUUUCGGUUUGCACAGAUCGAACCCUGGGCUCUUGUUAAGUUUUAGCGCCCCCCCCCCCCCCCCCCAAUACCCAAAUACCAUCCAAACGGAUAAAUAACAACAAUGGAAAAUUCUCAUAGCACCUCUUUUAAAUUUUAUUUUUUUUUCCUAAAAAAUGAUGCUAUAAAAAAAAAACCAUAAUUUUUACUCUUCGAACCUAUCUUUAUAUUCAACGUAAUUUUAUUAAAUCCUAAAUAUAUUCUCAAGCAAUGGAUUUUUGUAAUCAUGUUUGUUCUUUUGCUGGAAUUUAAAUUGCAAUGGCAGCUAGGGGUGGGCAAUUUAUUCGACCUGAUCCAAUCCGAUUAAAAAAAAAUCAAGUUAGGAUCGGAUCAGAUGGAAGAUAAUAUCCGAACGGGUUGGCUAAAAAAAAAAACACACGCAAGACACUCAAACACCACCCACUCAUUCACACAGUCACACCACUCUCAGCCCACUCAAACUCAAACCUACAACAAUGAGCAGCCUACAGCCAACACUCUCGUCUCUCUCAACUCAACUUCACUACUUCAGUUCUCAUCUCGCUCUCGUCUCUCUCUCAAGUCUCAACUCUCGAGAUUCAAGAAAGAAAAUAGAAUUGUGACAAACACACUCUAAAAUAUUUUGCAAAGAAAUAUCAAAUGGAUGAAAAGAUAUAAAUGAAGGAUUCCUAAACCAACAGAAGUGGCAGUGCCUUUCUUUAAGCGCAUUCUCAAUCUUGCACGAGUGACUGAUGUUACUUACAAGGAUGAUAAUGGCUACACCAAUUCUUAUGUGAUCAAAGACUAUAUCACCCACUGCUUGAGAAGCCUGUUCUCUUUUGAGUAGUUUUUGCGAUGCAGAUUACAUCCUAUAUAAACUAUUAAUGUUGUUUUUGGAAUAAGCUCUGAAAUUUGUUCCUCAGAGAGCUUUUUUGCUGCUGUCAUCACAAUUAUCAAAUUCUUCCGUACAAUUAGUAAAGGCUUCCCUGUUUAUAUAUAUAUAAAUAAAAGAAAUCACCCAACAUAGUGUUGUUUAACUGAAAAAGGAAAUUCAAGCAUCCAAAAUCAAAAUAUCCAAAAUGAAAAUAAGGUACCUAAUACUUGAAAGAAAGGGAUAUUCAAUACCCGUUUCAAAUCGUGCAUAAUCAUCUAGCAUGGCUCUCAUUGUCCCUCUGCAGCGCCGACUUUUUCCAUUAUUUUCUGCCCUUCUUCACCUUCGUCAUGAACCGAUCAAGACCGAAUGGAUCAGCUUCUUCAGCCUCCUUCUCAAACUUAACCGGUCCGUCCCUCGUACCAGACCUCUCAGAUGUACCUGCAAAUGCCUUGUCGGGUUUAAACCGAUCAGUCUUUCUAAUCUUCUCCAACUGCUCAUCCGCAUUUGCUCCAUAAAUUUCAGCAUCAGCAUCUUUUUUGGGCCUGUAAAGGGUUGAAAGAGUCGGCUGUGCUGUAAACAAGCCUUUGUCAUACACAUUAUACUGAUCACCGUCAGUGGCAAAACCAGAGUCCAUUCCUUUCUUCUGAUUAAAAAGCCUUGCGUCAUGAGUAACCUCACCCGCUCUGCCUCCGCCACCAAAAGAGGCCAUCCCAAGGGCAACUUUCUCGCUAACAUCCCGAUCUCUGUCUCUAACAACCUUACUAUUCUUCUUCCCCAUAGCAACAUCCUUGGCCAGCAAAUUUCUCUCCCUCUUCCUCUCGCGACGUCUCUCCUCACGAAUUCUCUCCCUCUCCCUUUCCCUCUCCCUCAGCAAUCCCUGCUCGCUUUCCUUCAAUGUCUCCAUUGCCUUACGUGCUAAAUCCCGUAGCUGCUGCUCUUUCCUUUCCUUCUCCUUCGUGAGCAUCUCCAUCUGCACCUUGAAUCUUAUUUCAAUUGCCUCCCUCGCCUUCUGCUCUGCCAAAUAAAGAGCCUCCGACAAUUUAGCAAAUCCCUCAUUUACCUGAACCUCCAGAAGCCCUCUUCCUUCGGCAGCGAGCUGCUUAUCCAGCGGAAUUGUAAACCGCUGUGGGUUCUUCCAAUUUGAUAUACAUGGUGGGAUUCUCCAAUCCAGCUGAUCUUUCACAGUCAUAGGCCUAGGAGGGGAAUGCAUGACCGGUACUGGCGGAGAUCCCGAAGCUUUCGGCACACGCUUGUGCUUCAACUUUGGUGGCUCAAGUGGGUCCAAAGGCAUCGCCACCACUCUCAAAAUCCUCCUUUUUAGGGAUGGCAAUGAAUUGGAUUUGAUCCAAGAUCCAUGUAAUUCAAAUCCAAUCGGAUCGGAUUUGGAUCGGUUUAAAAUAGAUUUGGAUCAGAUGUGCGGAUUUAAGACGAAUCUGGAGUAGAUAUGGAUCUAUCGUAAUAUUUAAAUCCAUAUUCAUAUCCACUCAUCUUUUAAUUUUAUUUUAUUUUAAAAGUUUCUUAAUAAUUGUGGAAUGAUAAUAUGAUAAUAAAUUUUAUUCAUAGCAUAUAUAGUAGUAUUUACCAUGUAUUUAAACUCUUUUUUUUUUUUAGAAGAAUGUAUUUAAACUCUUAAAACUUAAAGGUUAGUUUUGUAAAUUUAAAGGUCAGCCAGCCUCAAAGCAUGUACAUGCAAUAUUCAAAUUGCAAUCCAAGUAAUAUAACCUGGUAAUUUAUUUUAUCAUAUUGGCCAAAUAAUUUUUAAGGAAUAUAGUUAUUCAUAUAUUUAGUCAAAUAUGGUCAUAAUAAAAAUAAUAAAGGACUGAAUAUAAAUCAUAUUUAAUUUAUAUGUCAUUAUUUAAUGUUGUAGGAAUGAGGGUAGGUGUAUCGUGGAUAUUAGAAUGAUGAAGGAGACAAUAGAAUAUUAGAUUGAUCUUACUCCUGCAAUUACUUCUAAAUGAUAUUUUAUUAUCUUUCUUAUUUGUUGUUUUGGUAUAAAAGUAUAAGCUACAAUAUUUAUUAUAUUUUUUAGAAAAAUUAUAUAAUUUAUUUGUUAUCAAUACAUUUUAGCCUUCAAUUUUCAAUCUAAAAAAUUAUUACUUUUUUAUUACGGAAUUUUAGAAUUCAUGAUGGAUCUAGAGCAGAUUUGGAUUUUAAUUUUUUUUCAGAUUUGGAGCGGAUAUAGAUAUUUAUUUCUUUUUUGGAUCUGGAUAUGGAGCGAAAAAUAUGGAUUCAUAACAGAUCUGGAGCAGAUAUGGAUCUUGAUUUUUAUUAUGGAUUUGGAUCUGGAACAAAUACGGAUCUUAAUUUUUAUUAUAGAUUUGGAUCUGGAGCAAAAUAAAUCCAACACAUAUCUACCUCAUUGCCAUCCCUACUCCUUUUAGCCCCAGAAUAGAAGUCCACCGAUUGUUGUGAUGGUCUGUACAUAAUAAAUUUGGACUCUAAUGACUGCGUAGGUGCAGCAUUCACAACACUGUUAACAAUCUUUUCAAGUUCAGCUUUUGUUACAGGAGUAGUCACGUCAAUCUCAUCUUCUUGAUCAGGAAAAGCGCUACCAUCAUCAUCAUCGAAAUCCUCAAGUUUCCGUGGAAGUAUCACCAUGUUACAAAGAUUUCUUGCUUGUCAAUCAAGCCUGUGAUUAGUCCCAAGCAAUUUAAGGGUUCCUCAAGGGCUGAAAAAGAAUCUUGUGUUUUUUGUUAUCGUACACAACCAGCAAAUUUCUCUCCCAGUAGCGGCGACUCUGUUUUAAGAUUUGCUAAUGCUAUGCUAGUUUGCUAACUUGUAGCGGAGGUAAUCUCACUAAUGCUAAAACUAGAUAUCCUGAUGUAAAAACUUUAAACACAAAAAAAGUGCUCGUUUUGAAAAAUUAUUUGAGAUUACAACCUUAUUUAUUAGUUUUAAUUAUUACUCAAAAAAGCUAUUACAAUAAUUGAAAUCCUAGUCAAAACUAAAAUAAUAAUAAAAACUAAUUAAUAUGGCAACAGAUAAGACAAAUCCUAAACAAAUUAGAAAUACCAAUUAAAAAGAGGAAAAUUUCGGAUUAGAACAAAAAGAAAGGGCAAUAAUCUUUAUCCGUAUCCGUAGAAAAUAAGGAAAAUUUUUUAUGUAGAUAAUAAAGACUUGCCCACGGUAGUGUCCUAAGAAAGUAAGGAAAACCAAUCUAUAUAAAGAGACUUGCCUGUGCUUGUCGAAAAGCAUUAUACCUUCUUCUUUUAAUUAGCCUGCUAGCUAGCUCCUUAGUAAUCAGUCCCAAAUUUUCAGCUUUCUUAACUUCUUCUCCGUUACCUUAUUCAUCAUCUUCAUUAAAACAAGAAAACAGGAGAAAAAAAAUGCCUGGUGUUUCAAGAAUUGAUAAGGGUAAUGGCAGAGUGUACCCUGGAUACCUUACCCCAUUCGUCGCAAUCACAUGUAUCGUUGCUGCCAUGGGUGGCCUCAUCUUUGGUUACGACAUUGGGAUUUCUGGUAAAUAUAUUUAUACUUACAUACAUAUUAACUAGCUAAUUAAGUACUGUAGUAUUGUGAAUUAUGAGUUAUGCUGACGGUUUAAUCAAAAUAUUAACCUAGCUAACUGCAUAAAUAAUAUAACGCAGGUGGUGUGACCUCAAUGCCUUCGUUUUUGAAGAGUUUUUCCCAUCGGUGUACGAGAAGCAACAAGUAAACUCGUCAGCGAAUCAGUACUGUCAAUAUAACAGCGAGUCGUUGACUUUGUUCACGUCUUCGCUAUACUUGGCUGCUUUGAUAGCAUCGCUUGUAGCAUCAUCGGUGACAAGGAAAUUCGGAAGAAAGUGGUCCAUGUUAUUCGGUGGGGUUCUGUUUCUUGCUGGUACAUUAAUCAAUGGCUUGGCCCAAGACGUUUGGAUGCUUAUUGUUGGCCGUCUUUUGCUCGGUUUCGGUAUCGGCUUCGCUAAUCAGUCUGUGCCACUCUACCUCUCUGAGAUGGCCCUCUAAAUACAGAGGAGCCUUGAACAUUGGGUUUCAAUUGUCAAUCACCGUUGGAAUUUUAGUGGCCAACCUGUUGAAUUUUUUCUUUGCUAAGAUUAAGGGUGGCUGGGGAUGGCGUUUGAGCUUAGGUGGUGCCAUGGUCCCUGCCCUUAUCAUCACCGUCGGUUCAGUUUUCCUCCCGGACACACCAAAUUCAAUGAUUGAACGCGGCCAGCACGAUGAAGCCAGAAAGCAACUUAGAAAAGUUCGCGGUGUUAAUGAUGUUGACGGAGAAUUUAAUGAUCUUGUUGCAGCCAGUGAAGCAUCCAAGCAAGUUGAACAUCCUUGGAGGAAUUUGUUGAGAAGGAAAUAUAGGCCUCACCUUACCAUGGCUGUUCUGAUUCCCUUCUUCCAGUAAUUCACUGGCAUUAAUGUUAUCAUGUUUUACGCUCCUAUUUUGUUCGACACAAUUGGUUUCGGCAAUGAUGCAUCACUCAUGUCCGCUGUGAUCACCGGUCUUGUCAAUGUUUCCGCAACAUUCGUAUCAAUUUGUACUGUCGACAAGUGGGGAAGAAGACGUCUUUUCCUUGAAGGUGGUGCUCAAAUGUUAAUCUGCCAGGCCGUUGUUGCUGCUUGCAUCGGUUAUAAAUUUGGAGUUGAUGGGAAUCCUGGAGAGUUGCCUGUUGAUGCUUAAAUCUGCUCGCCUUUAGACCGACCAGAUUCUUUCACCAACGUUUGUGUUAUCUACUGUUGCUCGUUCACUGGGAUUGGAAUCGUCCUUCUUUCUCACAAUAGACCUGCGCUCACCAAAAACGGAUCAGAGACGCCGGUGGUUUUGCCGGCGUAAACCCUCCGAUGCUUAAGUUAGCUCAAGGUGUUUACGGGAAAACAGUGCAAUUUAGAUCUCAAAAUGGUUUCUAAAUUAUUCGGAGUUUAUAAGAAAAUAGCCUGAUUUCAAUUUGGCAGCGUUUCCCCUCUCUCAAUUUUUCCAUCCCCUUCUUCAUCGAUUUCUUCUUCUUUUAUAGCCGAUGUCCCCACGUUCCCGCUUGCCCUUCAUCCCACCUUUUUUGGGUAGUGGUAGCCUCUCAUGGGGCUCUAACUGCUGCAUUAUGGGCAAACGUGGGAUCUCGCGUCUCCCGCAACGGUUCUGGGAAAGCACAACUACCGUGAUUCUGUGAGAUCGUGUUUCCGCUUUUCGGGGGACGGGUACCGGCUCGGUAUGUGGCUCUGGUCAGUAUUCGUCUCUGAUCGACUCAUGUUACCCCUGUUCUGCUCGUACCAUUUGGCUGAGGUGAUUCAUGCCGGGGUGGAAGUAGUAUCCUGGCCGACCUGGUGCUUUUAUUUGCUUAACACCAGUCCCCCAGUUUCUGGUCUUGUGAGUGAAAUGAGUCAAGAGUAGAAACUGAUAGUCGACUCUUACCAAUCCGGGGGUUUCUCCUCUGGUCUUCUGUCUACCGGGACGAACCUGAGCAAUUCAUUUUUCUUCGGGUGAGAUUUUGAUCUGGGCGUGGGCCUAAAUGAGCAUGUCCACUGCGCACCUGGGCUUGCAUCUAGCCCGGCCUCUUGUAACGGUUGGUGACAUGGCAUCUCCCGAUUCUUCGCAUUUGAAAUUUGAAACGACGGGCUAUCUGUCCUCGAUGUACGGUGAGUGAGCUGGCGUCCCCAUCACUUAAAUGCUUCCAUUUCCCCCCUUUUCGUUUUAAAUCCCUAGACUGGAGUCUUCACCAUCUUGUUACUCGUUUCUCCACCGUUAACCAAAUUUUCUCUGGACUUUGCUCACACUUCCAGCGUCCGGAGUAUCCAUUUGCUGGGUGUUUUCUCUGUCGCGGCGGCUCUAUCAGUGUCAGUCUAUUCCAGGUAUAGCCUUUAACAUUUUCUUCGGCUGUUGUUGAUUGGGUUCUGUGUUGCCCCUUUGUGUCCAUAUACUCGAGUUUUCUCUGUCUUCUUUUGGGAUUCCGGUAUGUCAAAUCGGAAGAGGAAGUUAAUUGUUGAUGAGGGUGAUGACGAAUCAGGGGAUUCAGGCCUCAACGUGCCAAUACCCACCGAUUUUUUAGGUCCCUCCAGUAGUGUAGGUCCUCCUCAUGGUAGGGAUACCCUUGAGUACCCACGCCCCCUGGUUGUCUCUCCCUCUCCCGAAUUAAAGCUUGUAGGAAAUAGGGGUGGACCUGCGUCGGGCUCUGGUGAGAACCACAGCUUUGGUGGGGUUGGGAUCCCUGAAGGAGUUGGUGAUGGUAAGGGGAGCAGUUCCGGACCGAGCAGACCUGCUCAGAAAAGGAACCUAGGCCAUAGGGUGGAGGCUGAUUCCUACCCUAUUGAUUUCAUGGCUUGUGCCACCACCCCCACCGAUCUAUUUAAACUUAGGAAUCUCUACAACAUCCCCAACGAGGUUCUUCUUGUAGUUCCUGGAAAAGGUGAUGUCCCUAGUCGGCCUCCGAAAUGGUAUGUGACGAUGCACUUGGAGAGUUUCAGACUAGGAGCUCGGCUACCCCUUCAACCUUACUUUGCCAAGAUACUGGGCGGUAUGCACCUGGCCCCAGGUCAGCUAUACCCAAAUGGGUGGAGGGUUCUCUCGGCAAUGUUUGUGUUGUGGGAGAGGUGCGGGUCGGAGGAGCCUUCUCUUGUUGAAGUGAAACAUCUGUACCAGCUGCGGAGUAGCCCGAAGGAGGCAGGCUGGUACUAUUUCAUGUCCAGUUCCGCAAAGAGGAAACCGAUCACUGGGUUUCCAUCUUCAUGUAAAAAUUGGAAGAACAAAUUCUUCUUUGCUGGAGGGAACUGGUGUCCAGCGGUUCAGUCGCUUGGUGGGGACAUUUAUCUUCCCACCCAUUUUGUCACUCCAGGUCGUUCAUUUUUGCCUAUAUUCUUUCUCAAAUUGCCACUCAUUGGGUUCUUUAACCUUGUUUGUUUUUUCAGAAUCGUGGGGUUUGGUGAAGGAUCUUGAAGACCGACCUUUGCUUCAGGUGGAAACUGCUCUGUUGAACGCGUCUACUUGCCAAGACCUCCUGUCGCCAACAAACUUGGUCGGUUCCCGCUUAGUAGAUAUUGCCACUGGAAUGGAUAACAAGAUCCUCAGCGCGUUGAGCAGAAAGCGUGGUCGGGCUCCGAGUAGCUCCAGCAACCCUCCUCCUCCUCCAAAGAAACCCAUCGUCGGUCCUUCCAAGGCGCCAGUUCCUGCUCUGCCCCCUCCUCCACCUCGAAAGAGUGGUGGGGAUAAAACCUCCGACAAGAGUCCUGAGGUCAGCUUGCAGUCUGGGGACCGCUCUUCUCCUCUUCCAUCUCGGGAUCAAGGUGACUACCUGAGCCCAUAUCAGAAGGAUUACAGAAAAUCGGUUGGGCCCAAGAUGGUGAAGGACAUCGAGAGCAUGAGCCUCUCCGAGUUAGCUGUUUCUGUUCAAAGAGUCUCCUUCAGGCUGGCCACAAUGGUCUCGUGCUACAAGACCGGGUCCGCGCGUCAUGAGAGGAAGCUCCAAGCUGAUAACCAGGAGUUGAAAAAGAAAGUCGAAUCUGCUGACCGUUCCAAGGAGAAACUGGCCGAGCUGAACAAGCAGCUUACGGAGCUUGAGGAGAAAGUUGCUGUUGCUGAGUCCACUUCCUCCAAGCUUGAGGAUGAGUUGGGUGAUCUGAAGUCCGAUCUUCAGGCUACCCAAAGUGAAAGGGAUACUCUGAGGGUCGCCCUUGAAGGAGAGAUCAAAUCCCUGAAGGACCAGCUGGCUGAGGAGAAAAGCAAAUCAGCUGACGUGGAUGAUCGGCUGGAUGCCGAGUAUGACUCCGGGGUUGCUUUCAGCUAUAAGUGCAUCAUGUCUGUGCUUAAGGAAGAAUAUCACGAGCUCGACAUGAGCAAGCUGGAAUCUGGGGUGGAGAGGUAUAUGGCUGGGGCCGGCUAGGGAGAUAAGGAGCAGGUGGAGGUUCCUUUUGAUGAGGUGCGGGAGGAAGGAGCUGGUCAGUGUGUUUUUGAAGUGGGACAAGGGUACGCGCCUCCUCCUCCCGUUAUUGCUGAUCUUCCACCUCCCGAGAUAGCCGACGCUUCUCCUGCUGAGGCCGUUGACCUUCCUAAUCCUUAGGUCUAUUUUUGUAAAAAACUCUAGAUUGUUAUUCGCUUUGUAAACAUUUGAACAUUUAUAAAUUUUUAAAUGCUCUCAAUUGGCUUUCUUGUCUGGUUUUGCUCACGGGUUGCUUCUGCAAAACAACUUGGCAAUUUAUCUGAUUUUGCCUGUUGGUUUUUUAGUGCAUUGAGCAGGAAUAGGCAUCCGUUUGCCUUAGCGAAAUUUUCGCAAAAUUGCCUGCUGGUCUUCGAUGACCGAGCAGGAGCGGACACUUAUUUGCCUUAGUAGAAUUGUCGUAAAUUUAGCUGCUGUUUUUCGUUGACCGAGCAGAGGUAGGCACUUAGUCGAAUUUUCGUAGCUUUAGCUGCUGGUCUUUCGUUGACCGAGCAGAAGAAGGCACUGAUUUGCCUUUGUAGAAUUUCCGUAGCUUUAGCUGCUGGUCUUUCGUUGACCGAGUAGAAGUAGGCACUUGCCUUAAUCGAAUUUUCGUAGCUUUAGCUGCUGGUCUUUCAUUGACCGAGCAGAAGUAGGCACUGAUUUGCCUUUGUAGAAUUUCCGUAGCUUUAGCUGCUGGUCUUUCGUUGACCGAGCAGAAGUAGGCACUUGCCUUAGUCGAAUUUUCGUAGCUUUAGCUGCUGGUCUUUCGUUGACCGAGCAGAAAUAGGCACUUUGUUGCCUUAGUAGAAUUGUCGAAGCUUUAGCUGCUGGUCUUUCGGUGACCGAGCAGAAACAGGCACUUUAUUGCCUUAGUAGGAUUUUUUGCAGAAUUAGCUGCUGGUCUUUAGUGGACCGAGCAGAAGUUGGCACUUACUUGCCUUAGUAGAAUCUUCGUAGGUUUAGCUGCUGGUCUUUCGUUGACCGAGCAGAAGUAGGCACUUACUUGCCUUAGUAGAAACUUCGUAAAUUUAGCUGCUGGUCUUUCGUUGACCGAGCAGAAGUAGGCACUUGCCUAGGUAAAACUUUUAUUGAUUAGACUAGCAGGGGGAUUUCAUGCUGAAUUCAUCUUUAUUUGAAAUUUGAAAGCAUUACAAGAAUACUGGAUACAUACAUGUGCAGCAAAGCCAUGAUGCAGUUAACAUUGAUAUCUUGUCAAAAUGGAGAUUUAGUAGAGCACUUUGCUUACUGGAAAUACUUCUUCAAGUGUUCGGCGUUCCAUGACCUCUUCACUUCUCGUCCAUCUUGGUGUGCUAAUUUAUAGGCUCCUGGUCCAGUGGCUCGUAUCACCCGGUACGGGCCUUCCCACUUUGGGCCAAGAGCGCCAUGAUUAGGAUCCCUGGUGUUCUGGUUCACCUUCCUAAGUACCCAAUCUCCUGCUCGGAACUGCCUCACGCGCACGUUCUUGUUGUAAUAACGCAUGACCCUUUGUUGGCACUGGGCCACUUUCUGCACUGCCCCUUCCCUUUUCUCCUCCAGCAGGUCCAGACUUAAGCAAAUCUGCUCGUCAUUUUGCUCCUUAGUGAAAUAUUCCGUCCGAUGUGUUCUCACUCCAACCUCUGCUGGGAUUACCGCCUCAUGACCAAAGGCUAAAGCGAACAGUGUUUCUCCUGUGGUGGUUUUGUGAGUUGUCCUGUAGGCCCACAGUACUCCUGGUAGCUCGUCAACCUAAGCUCCCUUCUUCUCUCCCAAUCUAGUCUUUAGGAGCUUCUUUAUCACCUUGUUGGCUGCUUCCACUUGUCCGUUUGCCUGGGGGUGUGCGGGGGUGCAGAACUUCAGGUCCACCCCCAGGUUUCGGCAAAAUUCCCUGAAGUUGCCGUUGUCAAAUUGCCUCCCAUUGUCCGUGAUGAUGGCGUAGGGGAUCCCAUAUUUGCAGAUGAUAUUCUUCCAAAUAAAAUCUGUUGUCUUCCUCUCCGUGAUCUGGCUGAGGACUCCUACUUCCACCCACUUGGUGAAGUAGUCUAUUGCCACAAUUGCAUGUGUCGCCGCUCCUCGUCCCUUAGGCAAUGGACCAAUCAAGUCGAUUCCCCAUUGAGCGAAAGGCCAUGGGGAUGUCAUAGCCGUCAGCUUUUCCGGGGGUUGUGCAGGAACCUCGGAGAAGCUUUGGCAUGUUUUACAAUUCUUUGCCAUCCUUUUGGCAUCCUGGUGCAUGGUUGGCCAGAAGUAUCCUUGCCGGAGUGCCUUGAAGGCUAAAGUUCUUGCUCCCGAGCGAUUGCCGCAUAUUCCCUCGUGAAUCUCUCUCAGCACAUAAUCCGCCUCCUCAUCAUCCAAACAUCUCAAAAGGGGCAAGGUGAACCCUCGGCGGUACAGCACUCCAUCCAGUAGCGUAUACCUUGCUGCUCGGCAUUUUAAUUUUCUUGCUUGCCUUUUGUCCUAUGGUAAAACUCCAUCGCGGACAUAUGCGCGAAUCGGGUCCAUCCAGGAUUCUCCAGUACUUACUCUCAUCACCUCUGCUUCUUCCUCAAUACUUGGUGAGGUCCUUACCUCUAGUGGAACUGACUUCGGUAACUUUGGAUCUGCAAUGGCUGCCAUCCUAGCCAGCAUAUCUGCUCGGAAAUUCUCAUUCCGGGAUAUCUGCUUUACCUCCACUGCUUGGAAAAGCCCAACCAUCUGCUUCGCCUUCUUUAAAUAAAGACCCAUCUUCUCUCCCCUUGCUUGGAACUGAUCAUUGAGCUGAUUACACACCAGUUGGGAAUCUGCUCGAAUUUCUACCCUCUCUGCUCUUAGAGCGUGUGCAAGUCCGAGCCCGGUGAUAAAGGCCUCAUAUUCAGCUUGGUUGUUUGUGAGCUGAAAGUCAAACUUCACUGCAUACGUUAUUUCGGUUCCUUCUAGGCUCUGUAUUACAACUCCUGCUCCGGAUCCUUGCUCACUACAUGAUCCGUCAACCAUUACCAACCACAACCCCUCUGGUUUCUCCUGCUCUGCUGCUUGCUCCUCCCGAAUUUCUUUCCCUGUAUCGGCUCGGUCAACCAUAAAUUCAGCCAGAGCUUGGGCCUUGAUUGCUCCUCGGGGCCUGUAAGAGAGGUCGAAUUCACUUAGCUCUACGGACCAUUUUACUAGUCGACCCGAUGCAUCUGGUUUUUGAAGUGUUUGCCGAAGGGGCUGGUCGGUCAUAACAAUAACCUGAUGGGCCUGAAAAUAUGGUCGAAGUUUUCGUGCUGCCGUUAUUAGAGCUAGCGCCCACUUCUCCANNNNNNNNNNNNNNNNNNNNNNNNNNNNNNNNNNNNNNNNNNNNNNNNNNNNNNNNNNNNNNNNNNNNNNNNNNNNNNNNNNNNNNNNNNNNNNNNNNNNNNNNNNNNNNNNNNNNNNNNNNNNNNNNNNNNNNNNNNNNNNNNNNNNNNNNNNNNNNNNNNNNNNNNNNNNNNNNNNNNNNNNNNNNNNNNNNNNNNNNNNNNNNNNNNNNNNNNNNNNNNNNNNNNNNNNNNNNNNNNNNNNNNNNNNNNNNNNNNNNNNNNNNNNNNNNNNNNNNNNNNNNNNNNNNNNNNNNNNNNNNNNNNNNNNNNNNNNNNNNNNNNNNNNNNNNNNNNNNNNNNNNNNNNNNNNNNNNNNNNNNNNNNNNNNNNNNNNNNNNNNNNNNNNNNNNNNNNNNNNNNNNNNNNNNNNNNNNNNNNNNNNNNNNNNNNNNNNNNNNNNNNNNNNNNNNNNNNNNNNNNNNNNNNNNNNNNNNNNNNNNNNNNNNNNNNNNNNNNNNNNNNNNAGAUGCUUCACAUGAUCCGUCGUCUCUUUGGACUUUGUAAUCAUAUCAUCCACAUAUACCUCCAUAGUGUAUCCAAUCAACGGUUUGAAGAUCUUGUUUACCAACCUUUGAUAGGUGGCUCCUGCAUUUUUUAGGCCGAAAGGCAUUACCCUGUAACAAAACAAACCCAUGUUAGUUAUAAAGGCAGUGCUUUCCUCAUCCUGCUCGUCCAUGGGUAUCUGGUUGUAUCCAGAAAAGGCAUCCAUGAAACUGAGCAGACUGUGACCUGCUGUUGAGUCCACCAGCUGAUCUAUUUUGGGUAGGGGAAAACUGUCCUUUGGGCAUGCCUUAUUGAGGUCCGUGAAGUCCACACACAUUCUCCACUUCCCGUUGGCCUUUUUUACCAGGACUACAUUUGAAAUCCAUUCUGGGUACUUGGCUUCCCUUAUAAAUCCUGCUUUCAACAACUUCUCCACCUCGGCGUUUAUGGCCUCGUACCUUUCCUGGUUGCAGCAUCUCCUCUUCUGUCUCACCGGCCUUGCCCCCUUCUUGAUUGCCAACUUGUGGCAAGCUACCCCGCGAUCAAUUCCGGGCAUAUCUUCAUGAGACCAGGCGAAUAUAUCCGCAUGAGACUGUAGGCAAUUUACCAGCUCGCCUUUUACUGCCCCAAUCAAUCCUGACCCGAUCUUCACUACUCUGCUCGGGUUGCUUUUGCUUAUCGCAACUUCCUCCAGUUUCUCAACAGGCUCUUGGCGGCCCUUUUUAGACUCUCCUCGAUUAUCUAGAGAAGUAACCUGUAGUGUCUCCUUGGCCGCCGUAGCUUAACAACUCCUUGCCACCCUCUGGUCGCCUUUUACUACGCCAACCACCCCAUUUAUUCUGUAUUUCAGCGCCAAGUAAUGCGUGGAUACAACGCAUUGGCUUAUCCUCAUGAAUGGUCUCCCCAGUAUCAUCUGGUAAGGGCUUCUUUCCUCUACCACGACGAAGUCCAGCAUCAUCGUUCUUUCAAACGGCUUUGUCCCCACAAUAAUCGGGAGUUCAAUGAUCCCCAAGGGAGUUAACUGUCCCCCUCCAAAUCCUUUUAAGGAAGUAUUUGUCCGUUCCAGCUUUAAAUCUGAAAUCCCCAUAUCAUCUAGGGCUGACUUAAAUAGAAUGUCAACUGAACUGCCCGUGUCCACCAGUAUUCGCCGCAAUUCUGUGCUAGCCACCGAUGCUUUAAUUACUAGUGCAUCCUCAUGAGGAUAUAAAAUACCCUCUUCAUCCUCAUCUGUCCACAUAAUGGGAACUUGUCGCGCUUUUGCCUUCUUGGUUGCUGGCAAAUUGAAAAGCACUUCUUUGCUAGUCAGGGCGUAUCUCCCAUAGUUCUUCCGUGCCCUGUUCGAAUCUCCGGCCAAUGUUGGUCCUCCUGCUAUCACACGGAUAGUCGGCUGUUCACGUUCCAGAUCCCUCUCAACUCCCUCAUCCCGUGUGUACUGUGAUUCCAUGACAGGGGAUAUUCCAUCUACAUACUCGUCCAAGUAUCGGUUCCUCACUAAAUCCUCCACCUGAAUCUUCAGGUCACGACAUUGGCUGAUAGUGUGACCGUGAGUGUCGUGGAACUUGCAUAAUCGGCUCUUAUCCCGUCGGUGAGUCGGUUUUAUUAUUGGGGCUGGAGGGUACAACAGGCCUCGUCCCUCGAUCCUCUCAUACAAUUCCUCCAUGGAGAUCUUUAGCGGAGUGUAUUGUCUAUAUGCCAAGCUCUGGUCUACCAGCUGAACUGCUCGGCUAUCAUGAACGUCACCUCGGGAUGGCAUAGUCGCUGACUGAUCUGGUCGUCUAGCCCUGGAACUGGUUACGUGUAAUGCUCUGGGAGUGUUAUGAUAGCGGUCGGCAGCCAUCUGCCGGAAUUCUCGCUGCCGAUCCGGGAAUGGGGGACGUGGAGGUUGAGCCCGGUUGUGCUGGAACUGUUGUGAUCUCGGAGUUAUGGGGUAAGGGCGGGAUCGAGCUGAUGUUCCGCCCCUUACUGAGGGUUCCCCAGCUCGCUUUCCCGACCCGCUCCCAUUUGGAGUUCUCAUUUCCUUUCGUCUCAGCUCCUCCAGCUAUUCACUCUUUAUCUUUGCCGAUUUUUCUUCUUCGAUUUCGAUAUCUCUCUUUGCCUGCUCAUAUCCUGCUGAAUAAUUCUGCACCAGGGGGCUUCUCAGGUUAUACCAUAGCCGGCCUAUCCUCACACCCUCCUUUAAACCCCUCAACACCUGCGGGUGAUUGAAAGCUCCCAAAUCAAGUACGGCUCGGUGGUAUCGCUUUACAAAAUCCCGUAGGGACUCGUGCUCCUCCUGUUUCAUCCCCAUCAGUUCCAUCAUGUCGUCCUCUAGGGCUACUGCCCCUCGGAACUGCUCGGCCAACUCCUGGCACAUCUGCUCAUACCCCUUUAUACUUCCUCCGGGCAGCUUGCGGUACCAUUCUCGAGCUCGUCCCUCUAGUGUCAACGGGAACGCCCUGCAUCUCUGAGCUGAUGUCAGCCCCUGCACACCCGUCAUAUCGUUGAAACGCUCAAUGUACACCAGUUGGUCACUUCGCCCGGAGUAUUUGAGGUUGGGGAAGCGGAAAUCUCUUGGGAUUAUGAUACCCAUGAUCUCGAUUGAUAACAGAGAUUCUUCAUCUAACAUUAUCCUCCAGCUCGGGGGCUUUCUCUUGCCUUGUAUCUCCUCUAUCACCUGCGCCAACCUGCGCACCUCCCCCUCCAAUUCUAUAGCACGGCUAGGAUCACGCGCAGCUAUCUGGUCUCGCUUCUGCUCAGCGUUCUGCAACCGCUGUCUGAGCUCUCCUUCAUCAACACUGGCACCUCGGCCAGUAGUUUCCAGUACCCAUCCGGGGCGAGUUUGGUCUCUCCCUUCAUCCCCGUGUUCUCCUGGGACCCGGCCAGUACUUCUGUGGGGAUGCACCCCAUUAGGUUGGUCUGCGGGCGGAGGAAUGUCCUCGACUCUACGUCUCCGGAGGCUGGGUUCUGCUCCGACUUCAUCUCUUCCCACGGGGGUUUCACAAUCCCUUCUCCGCUCAUCCCUCAGCUCAAACAAUAUGGACGUGAGAGUCUCCAUUUGUUUCUCCAUCCGCUCCAGUCUGUCUUGCAUCAUCCUCUCUCGGGCUUCAUUCGCAAUUUCCCGGAGAGUGAUUGUCUCCCCAGCCUCGUUAUCCUCCCCAAAAGCGUCCUUUCUCGUCACAUCCAUGUCCAACCGUUCGCUAUUUCUCCGGUACUUCCUAAUUCGGUGGUAGCUUUUUAUCCAGCUCCCCACAGACGGCGCCAAAAUGUUGAUGCUUAAAUCUGCUCGCCUUUAGACCGACCAGAUUCUUUCACCAACGUUUGUGUUAUCUACUGUUGCUCGUUCACUGGGAUUGGAAUCGUCCUUCUUUCUCACAAUAGACCUGCGCUCACCAAAAACGGAUCAGAGACGCCGGUGGUUUUGCCGGCGUAAACCCUCCGAUGCUUAAGUUAGCUCAAGGUGUUUACGGGAAAACAGUGCAAUUUAGAUCUCAAAAUGGUUUCUAAAUUAUUCGGAGUUUAUAAGAAAAUAGCCUGGUUUCAAUUUGGCAGCGUUUCCCCUCUCUCAAUUUUUCCAUCCCCUUCUUCAUCGAUUUCUUCUUCUUUUAUAGCCGAUGUCCCCACGUUCCCGCUUGCCCUUCAUCCCACCUUUUUCGGGUAGUGGUAGCCUCUCAUGGGGCUCUAACUGCUGCAUUAUGGGCAAACGUGGGAUCUCGCGUCUCCCGCAACGGUUCUGGGAAAGCACAACUACCGUGAUUCUGUGAGAUCGUGUUUCCGCUUUUCGGGGGACGGGUACCGGCUCGGUAUGUGGCUCUGGUCAGUAUUCGUCUCUGAUCGACUCAUGUUACCCCUGUUCUGCUCGUACCAUUUGGCUGAGGUGAUUCAUGCCGGGGUGGAAGUAGUAUCCUGGCCGACCUGGUGCUUUUAUUUGCUUAACAUUGCCCAAGUGGUAUGCCUUUGUGGUCGUAAUUUUCAUUUGCAUAUACGUUGCCGCGUUUGCCUGGUCUUGGGGUCCUCUUGGAUGGUUAGUGCGCAGUGAAAUUUUCCCACUCGAAAUCCGGUCAGCAGCACAAAGCGUGAAUGUUUCUGUGAACAUGGCAUUCACAUUUUUGGUUGCACAAGUAUUCUUAAACAUGCUUUGCCAUCUCAAGUUUGGCCUGUUCAUUUUCUUCGCAUUCUUCGUCGUGCUGAUGACCAUUUUUAUCCACUUCUUCUUGCCCGAGACUAAAGGAAUUCCAAUCGAAGAAAUGGGUCAAGUGUGGAAGAAUCAUUGGUUCUGGUCCCGUUAUGUUGGCCAAGAUGAUUUCCUCGCCAAUGGAGGCCUAGAGAUGCACAAAGAAGAAACUGAUGUCAACAAUGUCUGAUCUGCAUGCUCAACUCCAUCCGGAUUUUUGUUUAGUUUCUAUUUUUAUUUUUUAUAUUUUUUAACAGUAAGUAGUAGUAGUACAGUUAUUCUGUCGGUUUAUUAUUCUAGCCUUAUCAAUGCCUUUUCUAUUCGACUUUAGUAGUGUUUAUUACAAUUUCUAAAGAAAUUAAUUUCAUGUAAGUUUUUACUUUAAUCAUUUUCCUUGUUUGGGUUCUCUGUUUUUCCUUUUUUUUUUUUUUUUUCAUCAGAAAUCGUCACUCUUACAAUUUGGACCAAGAAAUUCUUCACACAGGAAUCUGAAGAAAAAUUAACAAGGAUUGAAAAUUUUGACUUAUUGUUUAUCUUUUUUUUUUCUUUUCUCUUUUCCGUCUUCUCUUCUCAUUAAACAGACAUUAAGGCAAAAUUAAUAAAUUAUUUUAUUAUUGGUCUUAUCGUGAGUAGAAAAUCAUUGGUGCAAAUUCAAUUAUUUAGAUCAACAGAAAUUUUGGGAUAUGAAUCAAUGAGAAAAUUUUAAGUAUUCCUAAAAUAUUAUUCCUAUUUUAUCGUGAGUAGAAUAUGACCACCUUAUAUUAACUCAAGCUUUUUAUUUAAAAUUUUAACAUAAAUUCUCAUCUAUAAACUUUGUGGCAAAAUCUUAAGUUGAAAUAGGGAGAAAAAAAUCUAAAGAAUGUAUAAAAUUUGUAGAAAGAAAAGCCGCACGUGAGAUAUGUCAAAAUCAAAAUUCAUCAAUACAUCAAAUUUCAUAUACAUGGCAACUUAAACUCGCACAGUUCAAUGUCAAAAUUUAACUUUUAUCAAAAAGUAACGUUGCAUCCUCAUUUUACCUUUAACUCUAAGAGGUGUUGCAAUGGCCAAAGUAGCCAGUCAAUCUUUCUUUUGACGUUAUUUAAUCAUUCUGUACAGCAGAACACCCAUCAACUACUCUCAUCCUGGCCAUAGCUGCCUGCAUUGAGGAGUUGCUAAAGUUUAACAAUGAAAAAUAAAGCAACGAAAAAAUAAAUUUAACUUGAAUUAAUCAAGAACCUGUUUUUUCCAGUUUGUGAAAGUUGUAGCAAGAGAAAGAAGGGUGGACUGCACAACAGAGCCAGCCACUAUUCCGAUCCAAAGUCCCUUUCCUCUUAAAUGUGCUACAAAACCCAACACGGCACCCACUGGCAACCCAACUAAAUAAAAUGCCCCAAGGUUUAUGUACACCCUAUAUGCUGCCAUCCACACCCUUUCGCAACCCCUAUUGCAAACGUAGAAUCCACCUUUAUUAAGAAAUGAAAAUUUGAACCGCAUUUGAAUCCCAGAUGUUUUGUGGUUUGUGUAUUCAAGAGAUAAUUACCAACUGAUCUAGUCAACACCAACCUCUUGGAUGUAUACUUUAUAUGUGUGUGUCUAUAUAUAUAUAUAUAUAUAUAUAUAUAUAUAGCAUGUAUCUAUUUAACUAUUACGACAUUUACCAAAUGAUAUAUAAGUCAACAGUGACUCUUCAGUCUCCCAUAUUAUUAUCCAACAAAGACUUUAAUUGAAAGAAGUGUAAUUAGAAAGCAACUACUAACCAGAAAAAACAGCUUGUAAGCUGUCUGUAAUAACUGAGAGACAAAUCAGAGGAGCCAUAACAACAACAUAAUGCACAACUUGGUUGUCUUUGGUGUAAGCGUAACCCAAAAAAUAGCGGCAGCAGAAGAGGAUCGUGCCGACUAUCACUGCCUCUACCACAGCAUAACUUGUUGCAGCCCAUACAGCCACUCUAGCUGCUUGCAGAUUCCCAGCUCCAAGCUCAUUUGAAACUCGAGUACUAUACAUGACAUAUAUAUUAACAUGCACAUAGUCAAAUGCUAGCCUGCUCCAUUUGUAUUAUUUUAAAAAAAAUGCAAAUCACAGGGAGCAACCAAAAGCAAGAAAAAAAAAAGACCUUGCAGCUACUCCAAAAGCAUAUGGUAUUGUGAAGUGCAAUGUUGAAAUUGUAAGGCUGAUCAUAAAACAACAACGAUUAGAAGCAUAUACAGUUUAAUUCUAGGACAAUUUAUAAGUCAAAAUUAAAUAGUUAUAACUAAAAUAGGAGCUAAUUACCAAAUUGAAAGUACUGAAGUCUCCAGCUUGGGAUUCGGUAAAAGGCCGGAUAACAAAAUUAAGAUCUCCAUCGACCACCAUUUUAGACUAAUUAAUCACCAUAAUCGAUCACAAUAAGAGAGAGACUUUUGAGAUUAAAAGAGAAGAAACAACACAAAAAGCAAAAUUACCAUUCUAAGAGAUAAGAGGAAUAAUUACCAAACCAUUAUGGCAGAAGGUAUAGCCAAGCGAAAGAACUGUCCAAUGGCUAGUAAAGAUUCUUUAGAAACCGGCGCGCGAGUUUUCUCACAAGCUGAGGAGUACAUCAUGUACAAUCCGAGCAGUAUCACAUUCAACCAAGUUGAUAGACUGAAGGCUAGAGCUGCACCCAUGCUUCCUAAUUCUAGUUUGAACACAAGAGUCCAGCACGCAGGUAUAUGAAAACAUAGAAUUAGAAAAGAACUUGCAAACAUGGGAAGAAUCAAGCUCUGAGUCUGAAAGUAUCGGGUUAGUGGUUUCAGGAUUGCACUCCCGAAUAAUGCAGGGAUUAGCCACAUUGAAUACUUGCGUGCUUCGUGGGAGAUUACAGGAUCUUGGCCUAUUAGAGGUAACAAUUUGUCCAUAAAAAUCCACAACAGGCAAACUAGAGGGCAAACAAGAAUCAACGAAAUUAUGGCAGUGUAAGUAUGAACUCCAAGCUUCCGAAAUUGUGCUGCUCCAUAAGCUUGCCCACAUAGAGUUUCCAAUCCACCAGCCAUUCCUGACUGCUUGGCAAGUCCAAAUUAAAUUCAAUCAUUAAUCAUCAAAAUUAUCUCUAGGAUUAAUUAAACCUGAAGAUGAAGGUAAUGUGAGUAGAGAGCAGCAAACUUACUAGAAGACUAAAGCCGGUAACAUUUGUGAGAGAGGUGGCAAUGGCUACACUAGACAGGGCAAGCUGGCUUAGAUGUCCCACCAUUACCGUUGACACAACUUGCAGAAGGUACUGCAACACAGAGACUGCCACCAUUGGUGCCGCGAUACGGCCAGUCUUCUUCAGCUCUUCCAUAAAUCCACCCCAUGUAAUUGCCCAUCUCUUCUCCUGGCUCUCUCCAACUUCCAUAUCCAUGCAAAAUUGAUAAAUGAUAAUAAUGAUGGUAUCUUAGUUUGCUUUGCCACUAUUAAUAAAAAGAGCCAAUCCAAAGAAACACGAAGUUUGUAUGCUGUCCUCUGUUUUGGCUUUACUUGAGAAUUCAAUAUUAACGAUUUUAUGUUUUGACUGUUCAAAAGAGCAUGCCGAGAGGUUCAAAUUAGUGGACUCUAAUUCCCAACUUUCUGUUGUUUAUAAUCAUUAUUAUACAUUCCCCACGAGCACGGCACAGACAUGAGUAAUGCGGCAAGGGUGCGUUUCGCACACUGCAUUGUAUUAUGUUGUAUUGCAUUAUUUUAAUAUUGGUGUAUUAUAUUAUGCUGUAUUGUAUUAGCAUUGUAUUAUAAUAAUGUUAUAUAAUGUUUGGUGUUAUACUGUACUGUAUUAUUUUUUUAAUUAAUUUAAAUUAAAUAUUAUAUUAUAUUAAUGUUUUAUAUUAUAUUAAUAUAUUUAAAUUGCAUUAAUAUUUUAUGUUAUUAUUUAUAUUAUUAUUAAUUUUAAAUUAAUAUUAUUCAAAUUUAUUCAUAUUUAAAUAUUUUUAUUAGUUAUAAUAAGUUAUAAAUUUAUUAAUAAAUUAUAAUGUAAAAAUAAAAAAUAUACUAUUAUUGAAUGAUAAAUUAUUAAUUUAUUAAUUAUAUUAAUAAUUAUAAUGUAAAAAUAAAUAAAAUAAAAAUAUUAUAUUAAAUUAAAAACCAUAUUUAUUUAUUAUUUUAAUAUUAUAAUAAUAAUAAAGUGAAAAGCAAAAUAAAAUUAAAAAAAAAAAAACAAAGCUAAUGCGUCAGUUGACGCAUUAGCCUCCCACCCCAAUCCCUUGCAAUUUUAUUCCAAACAUAGGUUUGGUAUUAUGUUAAUGUAAACAGUAUUAUAAUAUCCCCUUAAUACUAUAAUCAAACACACCCUAAGAUAAUUGCUGGUGUUUAAUCGGUCAGAUUUUUCAUCUUUUCUCGAUCUUUUGAAAAAUCAUAAUAAUGAUUAUAAUAGAUCCCCAGACACGUAGAUGGGAUUGAGAUUUUGUCUGAUAUGGCUUGAUUUGAAGUAUUUUUUUAUAUCUGCAAUUCUGCAUAUAGUAAGUACAAUCAUAUCUUCUGAGUGAUAGACUUCAUUUUUGGCCGUUCUGAACAAAAACUAUGUUCAAUGACAGUACUGAACUCUAAAUUUCAGUGGAAUAUAAUAAAGGAGAGGAAUAAAAAAGCAUAUUGCAAAUUGGAUGUACUCUCUCACAUCUGAAUCAUUUAAUAAUUGCUUUUGGAAGCACAUUUUUGACUAGUUACUACAUAAUAUCAGCUUAGAAGAAACAGAUGCGAUUCCCCUAGUGGCUUUCAAAUUGCAAUCAGUUGUACGCGAGCGAUUCCUUAACAGAUGAGAAGAAAGAAAAAUGGCAAAAAAGGAAAAAAAACAAUUCUGAUGUUUUCAGGAGUCAGUAGAUGCUGUUGAAAUACAUAUUUUUCACUGUCCUCCCCUUAACUAUGUUAGACUUUAUGUCUAAAUUCGCACUUGUCUCCCAAGAUUUUGAUGGACUGUUAACAUGGAUGACUAAAUGAAUAAAAAUACAUAGACGCCCCUGAUUUGAAGCAAAAUCACCAUGCCAGGAAACAAAACAGCUCGUGUAUAAAGAGAUGACAGUGUUAAUUUCGACAAAAAGAAACUGUGGGUUGGACAAAAUCCAUGAGAGGAUAGUGAAAAAUAUAUAUUUUGAUAUAAUGUAUAUAGUAUAUCAUUUCAAAACUCAAAAGUCGUUUCGUUCUUUAAAAAAAUUCCACUGCUUUAAAAUUAAAAAUCACAUUUAUAAUUAAUUUUUUUAUCAAGUUCUAAAUCCUUUUAUUUUGUCAACAUCCUAAAAUUAUAAUAAGAAUUAACUAUGCUUUGAUUGAUAAAACUAAUGGGGAUUUCGUUCUUAUUUGAUAAAAUCAAUAGUCAUUUCGUUCUUAUUUAAUGUGUUUCCAACUUGUGAGCAAUGGGAGGUAGAAAGCAAACUUGUCCACUUUCAAUUCCCAAACUCAUAAGAAUCAGACCUUUUUUUUUUCAAAUGAUCAAAUAAAUACAAUUGGCUACUUUGACAGACAGGAACAAUACAAGUGUCUUAACAUGUCGAUCAAAUGGCCAAAAGUAAGACGCAAUCCCUAAGUCUAACUUACAAUUGCUAAAAAUAACGUAAAAAUGGACCAGUAUCAUCAUUUUACCUCGUCUUUAAUGGUUGUCAGUUACACUAAAUAUAUUUUAAGGAGACAAUAAUAAUAAUAAUAAUAAUAAUAACAAUUUGAGUAGAAAUUAUCACGAACAUAUUCCUGCAUAUCUUAACAUCUUCAAAGAUAUGUGACUUAUUGAUGUGACGCUCCAUUUUAUCAAACAGUUGCAUCAGAAAAUUCUGAAGGGACUACAAAUGCCUUUUGAUGCAUAGAAGAUUUACAUUACUGACAAACCAAGGACAAAGCAGAAAGAAGCAAGUUUCGAUUUGUUUCUCAGCCAAAAAUCAAGUUCUUCCAUUAUCUUCUGUCUACUUCUUCCCCUAUUAACUCCAAUUUUUGCUCAGACCCUUGGUUUUGGAAUUGGGCAAGUAAUUGGAGGAGUCAAAGAGAAAGAAAGUAAACAAAAUAUAAAUAUAUAUAUCAGCAACUCCCUAGAUCUAAUCUGCUUCUGGCUCAGUUAGGUGAUCAGUCAUUAAGAUCUAUUGCCUCUCCACCUUCUUACUAGUACUCCCAGCCCUUUAGAGCAAAUUAUUAAACCAACCCUCGGAAAGUUCAGACACAUCCUUUGUAUUCCAACUGUGCAAGUGUAAUGUUAACCUAAGGUUCUCUUUCUUUUCAUUUGUAUGCUUGAAGAAAAAUCAACAAGAAAAUGCAAUACCAGCAGGUAUUAUUUGUAAUUCAUAUGGAAAUUAUCAUUAACAUAUGCCUACAUAUCGAAAUCUUCAAAAGGUUGUCAGAGUUUAUCCGCAGCAAUCCAAUCUAUUUUAUCAAAGACAGAAAAACUUAUGUUCAAGCAGAACAAUCAAAAGGGAAAGUAAAUGCCCGAAUUUUGAGCUAGCACCAAUAAAUUGAAGAUGUACAUUAUUGACAAGCCUAGAACAAUAUCAGCUUGAAAAGAAGCAGAUAAAAGCACAUAUUUAGACAAGAGAAACUUACAAACUACCUCAGUUUUUGUGCUGCAGUUGGGACACCAGAUGAACUCAAGUUGGCCCUUUCUGAAUCGUUUGCUGCACGAAAGCCAGCUGUAAUAAAUGUUACUAUUGAUCCCUAUGCCAGUACAAACUACCUCAGUUUUUGUGCUGCAUCCUACCACUUUCUGCACCGGCAUAGGGUUCAAUAAUAACAUUUAUUAAAGCUGGCUUUCGUGCAGCAAACGAUUCAGAAAGGGCCGACUUGAGUUCAUCUGGUGUCCCAACUAAAUAUCCUUUUCCCCCAAAAGCUUCCAUGAGCUUAUGAUAAGCUGCACCAGGUACAAAAGAAGUAGGUGCAGGAUCAUCUUUGAAAGGCCCUGCAAUUUCUUCAGGGUUUCUGCGAUCUCCACCAUACACACCACCAUUAUUAAAAACUAUCACGACAACAGGCAACUGAUAUCGAACCAAUGUCUGCAAAAUCAGAAGAAACAGAGACCACAUUAGUCUCUUUUUCCUCUCCCACCUUUUUCCAUUUAUUGGAUGAGGAUAUGCUAUACGUAUGAAUCAACUUUGGACUUAGACAAAGUAAAAUUCAUUUAUUCCAUUAAUUGAUUAACAUUGACACACUAUCUUCUAAAAAUUCAUUUAUUCCAUUAAUCAAUCUUCUAACUACACAGAUAUGCAAACAUCCAAGUGCGAGCACAUCACAAGCACAAAUUCUCAUUUUUCAUUCAGAAGGAAAGUGAAAAAGAGGGGGGGAAAAUGGAAGGUAUCUACAAUAAAAAACCCUCAUCUAAGUCACACAUCAAUGAAGAAUGCAAUAGAAGAAAUCUUUCCACUAAAUACAGAAAGAUGCACCAAGAACUACCCUUCUGAAAGCAAGGCAGCAAUUACGCAAGUUCGGAUUAGCUAAAACUAAAUCCGACAGUGGCCAUAUAGCAUUUGAUAAUUACAAGACUACUCGUUCACUAGAAUAGAACCAGCAUCAAAAGAAACUCAAAUAUCCAAAUCGUAAGAAAAUUAAGGAUAUAUUGAGAAAAGGAAGACACAGGGGAUAAAAGCCAUUUAGGAACCGUACCAUCAACUAUCGAUCCCUGAGAAAAAAGGAAAUGAGCUAGGAAACUAGAUAAAGUAAAACCUAAACAGUAUGUCCUAAAAUCAAGAAGCCAGACUGCCUGUAAUGAGCAAGCGAAGUUUUCCAAAUUUGUGACCAUCAUCCCAGUAAAUAAUGAAAUGCUUUAGAACGCAUGAUAAAGUUGAUGCUGGCACUCAAAGCUUUAAACAAGCAAGAUUUGACUUCCCAAACUAAGGUAGUCAGUCUCUCCCAUCAAAUAGAGAAGGAUCCAGUACAAGCUGAUGAUCAAAACUUAGAUUUGCCUAUAUCCACUUGAAACUGCAUCAGCCUUCAAAUUCUUCAAAAGUUAUUACCAUAGGAAGACAACUCACAAAUGUCCUAAAUCUUUAAAAUCUAAUAUUAGACCAUUGGAGAUGUGCCGCAGAUUUCAAUAUUAAAGCGAAAGUAGAAUAAAAUGGAACGCUAAAGAGAAUCUUAAAAUAACAAAAUAAUCAUAAAUGACUAGCAAUUUGCAUCAUGUUUGUUGAUGAAUUAAGGAAGUCAAGCAUGGUGUACAAGUUUAUUCUUGUGAAUAAAAUGUAUGCAUAAAUAUCGUUAUAUGCUAGAGAUCAUAAUUAUGCAAGAGAGCCAUACCUCAACCUCAACCGCACUGAACCCAAAUCCAGAGUCUCCUUCAACAGCAACCACAAGCCGUUCAGGGCAAGCUAUUGCAGCAGCAAUGCAAUACCCUAAACCAACCCCCAUGGUCCCCCAAGUCCCUGCAUCCAGCCUACAACGAGGCUCAGUUUGAACCAAUACUGCCCUACCCACAUCCAUAGUAUUUGCCCCUUCAGAUACCAAUAUAGGAGCGGGGCUCCCGACUCCUAAGAUCGCAUCUCUUAUAAUCCUCAUUGGCGUCAUGAAAUUAAACGGCACAACAUCCUUCACCAACUGAACCUCCAUUUUCAACACAUUGUCAUUCGUUUUCUUCCAAAUAGCCUCAACCCAAGGAUGAUUUUUCCCCAAACAAAAAGGUUCAUCUUUAAUCUCCUUAUUAAUCAUUUCCAACACUUUUUUAGCAUCUCCAACCAAACCCAAGUGUGGUUUCCUUAACUCAAUCUCUUCCUUGCAAACAUCAACCAAAACAAACUUCACAUCCUUCGACCACUUCGGUGGCUCACCAAAAUGCAACAACCAAUUAAGCCUCGCACCAACAACAAGCGCAACAUCACAUUGACCUAUGGCUAAUGACCUCGCAGCGGUAGCAGCAAGCGGAUGGGUAUCAGGCAACAGACCUUUACCCAUUGGAGUAGGCAAAAAUGGAAUCCCAGUGCUUUCAACUAAUUUCUUCAAUUCACCCUCAGCUCGCGCAUAAGCUGCGCCUUUCCCAAACACAAUCAACGGCUUCUUUGCUUCUUUAAGCAAAGACACCGCUUUAUCGAUAUCAGAAUUCACAAUCCCCCCUUGCGUCACCGUUUCUUUGGCACUCUCCGCUUCCUUCAGAAGCUUCUCCGCUUCAGAUACCGAUAUCGUUUGAUGUAAAACAUCAGUGGGUAGAUCCAAAUAACACCCGCCGGGCCGCCCCGAAACAGCUCGUUCAAGAACCUGAGCGACACACUUGGGAACUUCCGUAAUGUCCUUCGCUUUUACAGCAAAUUUCGAAAAAGGCUUGACGGCUUCCACUUGGUCGAGUUCUUGAAAAUCGCCGCGGCCAAAAUCUUUCUGAUCGCAGGAGCCGGAUAUCAUGACGAUUGGCCACGUGUUAAUCAUCCCAUUCGAGAGACCAGCCAGACCGUGCACGUAACCCGGACCGGAAACAGUUAACAGAAUGCCGGAUUUUCCAGUCAGGUAUCCGUAGGCGGAGGCGGCGUAGCCAGCGGACUGCUCAUUGUGGAAGGCGAUGAACCGGACGCCGAGCUGGACGGCCCGGUUCGCUAAGGAAGUAACGGGAAUGCCCACCACGCCGAACAUGUGGGUGGCACCGAAUAGUGACAAGGAUUUGGCCGCCAGG